AAUGUGGAAAGGUUUUACCUCCAGUACGUUUAUCGGUCACUGUAGUUACUAACAGAAAAGAAGAAGUAGCGAGCUUUUUGUUAAACUUGCGGUAGAACUCAUUACUCAUUAGCAACCUGGUAAUCGUGCAACACGAUUAAUGAAUGACUAUAGCCUAUGUUAUAUGGGAUUACAUAUUAGUCACUCGAUUAGCUGGAGAAGGGAAAUAAUCAUUCUAGGUAAUCAUUGUCGUACCUAUUCAUCAAUCAUAUAAGCAGCUCCAUCCCAAUUAGACUCUCCCAAUCCAGGAGCGACAUCCUUAUAAAUUGAGAUGCAGUUGCUUUCCCGAUUAAUCGCGCCGUUCUGUUAGUCAUAGCUUCCGACGAUUAUAUUUGUGUGGAGAGAAAUAGGUUAAACUUACGGAUUUGGAGAAGAGGUAUAUAUAUAAGUGUAACUUUGAAGGAAGCAGAAGAGUUGAAUGACCAUUGAUUGUCGAAGUGAAUCAUGAAGCUUUAUGAAUAGUUAAAGUAGUACUCUACGUUACUGAGGAGGGUUGGAGGAGGUGAAAGGGGAAAGGGGAAAAUUAACUCUGACGUCAAAACGAUAAAACAAUUUUUUACUCAUCUUUGAGCCAGCAAGAUGGGCCAAAAAUAUAUAACUCGGUCCAGAUAUGUUUAAAAUAAGUGACAUGGCAUUGUAUCAUUGGUUGAUUUUUGAAGCCGACGUGAAUAGGCUUCAAGAAGACGAUAGAACAAUUUUUUUACUCAUCCUUGAGCCAGCAAGAUGGGCCAAAAAUAUAUAACUCGGCCCAUAUAUGUUUAAAAAUAAGUGACAUGGCAUUGUAUUAUUGGUUGAUUUUUGAAGCCGACGUGAAUAGGCUCAAUGGGGCUCAUAUCCCUCUUUUACCUAUUGUUUGAUAUGAGAGAAGUGCUUUAUAUGCUUGUUCCAACAAGCACCAAUAACAAAAUGUAUGCAACAUUGAUUCAAAAUAAUAAAUUUUGAACAACAAUUAAGACAAGGUCAAUGGGAACGUUUCUUAUCAUCAAUGGCAAAAAUAUUUCUGAAUCAUAAAAUUAAUUUGAAUUUGACCCAAAGGAUCAUUAAGGUAUUAGACUAGUUGUCUAUUUAUCAAAUUAAUUUUUAAUUCCAAAUCAGUCUAUUCCAAAUUUAAUUUGGUUAACUCGGUUUUAUGUGCAAACACAUUUUAUAAUCGACUAUAUCUUUCUACCAAUAUACCAUAGUAUAUUUAUAUGGUCAUGAACCAGUUUAUUACUUCUCCAUAUAUAAAUAAGAGGAUUUUCACCUCAUAAUUUUCAUGUGGGAUAUUUACUAGUUUCUGAAACAUAGUCAAAUUGUCAAGCUUUACAAGUUUUCCAAGUUAAUGACUUUGGACCAACAUUUCUCAUUCAAACGAACUAAGAUUUUGACAUGUGGUUAGACUACUUCAUAGUGUCCAUGGUUAUUCCGAUGAACGUCUUUGCCCGGAAAUUUACUGAAAAUGGUCUAAAACCAUUUAAUCAAAAAAGGAGUUUCAACAAAUCUUUCAUCAUCUAAUUCAAAUCAUAGGUAUAAGGCCUGAAUCCAAUAAAGACAUGCACAGAGCUCAAACUCUUUCCGUUUGACAUCAAACGAUUCGAUUGUUAAUUUUAUUAUUAAAAUAUAACUUUUGUAAAAAAAUUCAAUAAGGAAGCAAAGAGCAUAUAUGUCUCGUCUCUACUCUCUAGACCCUAGUGGCUUGAGGGCACAGGAAUGCUCUGUUCGUAACGGAAAAAGUUGUCUGGAUCAACUCUGCUCUUAACACUAACCAAUCUCUCGAAGUUGUUCUUAAAAUACUUCACCCCAUACACUUUCCCUUCCUCGUACGUCGAAUUCAAGCUCGUGCCAAUGUCUACGUCUCUAUAGUUCAAAAACGCCUCUCUUGGGUUCUUUGACACGUAAGGGGUCAUUGCUUCGAAAACUCUCUCCGUCUGGCUCAUGCAUUCUUUAGCCACUUCUUCCCCUGGCACAAACCAGUUUGCCGCGUACUGGAUCUUGAACUUGUUGCCUGCUCGAUGCGGAAACGCUGUCUCGGUCGAUGGAAUCUCGCUCAUCCUCCCUCCGUACGGGUUCCAAGCCAUUGUCACGUUCUCGUUCUCUAACAGGACCUUGAAUAUCGCAUCUAAACCGGUUCUUGAUAUCGGUUUUUGGACGUAAUCAGACUUUCUCUUGAGGUAGAUUUGCUUUUGCGGGAUCCGGUUUAGCAUAACCGAUGUUGGUGCUGUACCGGGUGGGAUACUGAGCCAGAACAGAACCGAUUCGAUCCAUUUCAUUUCUAUGCAUUCUGUUUUGUUCAGACCAAGCUCCGGGAACUCCUUGGUCAUGAUCUCUAGAAGCCUUGACGAAUCUCCGAGGAACAUUCCCAUGAAAGAAGCCUUCACAGUUUUGUUGCUUGUGCUUAAAGUUAAUCGUAUGAACAAACUAUUGUCAAUCUUGUCUGCGAUCUCUUGCCAUUUCACUACAAGUUCCUUGGUGUUCACGCCACCUCUCUUUCCGACAGCUUCUACGUUAAAGACUGUGACCUUCUCUGGCACCGGAACAAGCUUGAUCUUCCAGGCUAAGACAACACAGAAACUAGCAGCUCCACCUCCACGUAAGGCCCAGAAAAGAUCUUCUCCCAUUGAGGUCCGGUCCAAGACUCUUCCCUUAGCAUCAACGAUCUUAGCGUCUAUAAUGUUAUCAAUCGAUAAACCGUAUCUUCUCAUCAUGUUUCCAUAACCACCACCGCUAAAAUGUCCACCAGCGCCUAAACCGGGGCAGAUUCCGGCAGGAAAUCCACGCAGAUCGUUGCUUUUAUUGGCGACUCCGUAGUAGAUCUCUCCAAGCGUAGCACCGGAUUGGACCCACGCGGUGUCAAGUUUACGACCAAACUCGAUAGACCGGAGGUUGAACAUGUCUAGGACAACGAAAUCUACUGUUGAUAGAUACGACAAUCCAUCAUAGUCGUGGCCUCCACUGCGGAUCCUGAGCUGGAGGCUGAGUUUCUUAGCGCAGGUGAUCGUAGCCUGAAUGUGAGUAACAUCGGCUGCAGCUACAAUAGCGAUAGGCUUACGUGUCGUGUUGUUGAAGUAACGGAGGUUACGGACGUAGUUAUUGAGGAUUAUGAGGAACUUAGGGUUUUGUGGAGUGUAUGUGAAGUUUUGAAUCGGGGAACAUGGAUUUGAGGGUUUCAAACCGAUGAUGCAUUGGGUGAAAACGCUUCCAAGUGUUGGUGGUGAUGCCAAUGAUGUUUGGAUUGUAAAGAGAAAAACAGAGAUGAUUAGGGUUUGGAUUGUUGGAGAUUUCAUUGCUUGUGUUUCUUGCUAUCACCUUCGUUUACGGGUUUGCAUUUUCUUAUAUGUUUGUUGAAUCGACAUGACUAUACAAUCGUCUGUUCUUGUAGCUGAAUGAAUACUUUAAGGUAGUAGAUUGAUAUCUUCCUAAAUUAGUUAAUUAAUCAAUAUGGAGAUUCUAUGCUUAAUAUAUGUGAUCUGUUUCCUAUAAGUUCAAUUGGUCCAGUCAAUUUAUUGAAUCUUCACUAUUAAAAGAGAAGUACCAUUUUUAUUUACCACAAAAAAGUCAUAAUAGGUUUAUUUUUUUUAUUACAUAUAUAUUAAUUAUUUACAUUAAUUUAUUGAAUAUAUAAGAUUUCUAAAAUUUUAAUAAUUAUAAAGAUAUUAAAUUAAAAAUUUGUUGAAAAAUCUGACAAAAUCUAAUUAAUUUUUUUAAAAUAUUGUUUUUAAUUAAUAAAUUAAAUAAUUUUGUAGUUAUUAAUAAAAUAUUAUUAUACUUAAUUUUAAAUACAAAUUUAUUAUAAAACAACGAAAAAUAAAAUUAUAUGCUAACCUUUUAUAAAUUUUAUAAUUAUGUCUAUAUUAUAUUAAAAUAGACGUAAUAUAUAAAUUAAAUAUUAAAAUAUCUUCUUUAUUAAAAGAGAAUUACUAUUUUUAUCUACUACAAAAUAGUCAUACUAGACGUCUAAGUCCAUAUAUUCAAAUAAUUUUUUUAUUGUUUACAUUAGUUUAUUUAAUGUAUAACAUUUCUAAAUAAUUAUAAGGAUAUUAAUAACAAAUCCAUUUUAACUAUAAAUUUAAAUUUUAGUUUUAGGAAUAACAAAAUCUGUUGAGAAAAAAUCUAACAAAAUCUUUUUAAAAUUUUUAAAUAUUCUUUUAAUUAACGCACUUAUUAAUUUUGUAAUUAGUAGUAUAAUAUUAUUAUAAAUUAAUUUUAAUUAAAUUUUAUUAUAAACAAAAUAAUGAAAUUAUAUGCUAAUUUUAUAAAUAUUAUAAGUAUAUUCUACAUUAUAUUAAAAUAGAAGUAAUUAAUGAAUUACAUAUUAAAAUUAUGCUGAAUUGGUAAACCAAUAUAUUUUGAAAAGUACUUUCAUUAAGAUGAAUAAAUAAAAUAUCAUUCACCGUUUAAAGUGACUAAAAUAUCAUUCAUCUUUUAAAAUGAUUAUUAUUCAAAAAUUAAGUAAUAAUUUUUACAAAAAAUAAAAUUAUUAGCAUAUGUUAAAUUUUAAUAUUUAGAACUAUAUAUCAUCUAUUAAAUUAUUUUUAAAAUGACAGUAGUAUAUUAUCAUAAAUUAUUAUAUACAAAAUAAUAUAAAAUUUUAUAUCUAUAAAUGAAAUGUUACCCGCACGGAUGUGCAGGCUAGAAUCUAGUGUUGCUUAAUAUAGUUAUAUACAUAGAAUUAUAGAAACAAGAUUUUUUUUCAAAUGUCAUGAGAAGAAAGAAAUACUUUAAUAUAUUUUUAUAAUUACAAAUUACGUAUCAUUUUGUUCUAUAUUAGCAUCACUAUUUUUAUUUAAAUAGUCUUCCCUUUUUAUGUUUUUCCCCGUAAAUAUUGAUCACAUUUUUCGAAGAGCGUAGCAUACUUUUUUUUUGUCGUAUGAAACCAAUAAUCUAGAUGGUUCAAAAAGUACAACACCAACACCAAAAUAAUAAAAAAUCAGCAAGAGACAACUACACUAACUCAAACUUACAGGAAAGGUUUAAGAGAUGAUAUUGGAACCUCGUUUCGAAUGAUCUCAUGUAAACAAAAGGGCCCUCCAAAAAUAAGAUAACAUUAGAACCGAUCAUCCCUCUACAAGUAAAGUAACACUGAAACCCACUAUCACUCCAAAAAUAAAGUAACAUUGGAACCGACCAUCCCUCUAAAAAUAAAGUAACAUUGGUACCCGCUAUCUCGUACGCUCUUCACAACUUCUCUUGCUACCUUAUUAGACUCUGAAGACUCUAUUUCGAAUAUGACCAUUGGAAACUCCAGACACAAGGCCGAAAUGUGGUGAAACAGAAUACAAUAUCUUGUCCAAUUUGUAGGGUUAUUGGUUGCGUCCACCAUAUCCUGAGAAUCUGAAGCAAUGACUGCAUCAUGAAUAUGAAGAUCUCUCAUAUCCUGAGAAUCUGAAGCAAUGACUGCAUCAUGAAUAUGAAGAUCUCUCAAGCUCUUCAUCACCCAAAUAAGGCAUCUCAACUCUGCAGUGAGCCUAUCUGAUGAGCAUGUAAAGGCAUCUCGAGCAUGUUAACCCACCAUACCUCUGUGAUUUUGAGUGAUCCAUGCACCUCCGUUAUGAAGUUUGUCAUUUCUCCAAUUUGCAUUCAUAUUAAAUAUUAUCUAACCAAGCAUUGGAGGUAUCCAUUUCCUCAACACUCGGAUUUUAGAGAUUAACACAUCCUCUUCCAACCUCUUUCUGCAACUUGAACCAUAAAUUAGCUUCAUCAAAGGCUUUUUGCACUUGGACCUGUAGAGAUUCUUGUACUCUUGCAUAUAUGAUACCAUUCAUGUUCUUCCAUAUUGUCGAUAGUACCAUGGGAUUUUCUCCAAGGCAAUAGUAUCAUCUAGCAUUAACUGGAAACUUUAUGAUAACAACUCAGAUCAAUCAGUGUGCUUCGUAUAAGCCCAUAUUUCUCUAUCUACGACUUUCCCAAUGGUCAUCUUUUGUAUCAUUUGGAUUUCAUUUGAUGAAAACAGCUCCUGGAGAAUUUCCAUUCGCCAUUUACCAUUAGACCGUAUCAAAGCUAAUACCUUCACGUUAAUAUCGUAAGAUACUUUUUUGUUGAUUGGCCGCUUAGGUACAUCAUCAAAGAUCCAAUGUUACGUUCCCAUCACCAAUAGAUUUGAUUAGUCCCUUUAACAAUAAUUCUCUGCCAAAAAGAAUACUUUUCAAGCAUAAGAAGAUCUGUAACCUUUACCACAUUCCAAAAAAAUCUUUGGAAGCAUAGUAUGUGUCUUUGUAAACCCGAGCCAGAAGACUUUUUGGUUCAUUGAAUAAUUAACCGCCAUGUUUGCUUGGCUAACAACGCUUGAUUGAAAUAUUUUAUUUCUCUGCAAUCCAAACUUCCCUUGUUUUUAAGAAUACAUAAUUUCUUCCAAAAUAUCCAAUGAAUCUUCUUCUUAUCUCAAUCUUUAUCCCACUAGGAACUUGUUAUUGCACUCAUGAUCUUUUAAUUUGGCAGUGAUUUUAGUGUGGCGAAAGCAUGUCACUGCAUACAUAGGGAGAGUCGUAGUAAUAAACUUGAGAAGUACCUAUUUUCUCUAAGGGAAAUCUCUUUGGCAAACUACCCUCUAAGUCUUUUUUUUUAGUUCCUGACAAGUGAAAGCUAAAAGUCAUGUUUUGAUCCAUUCAAACAUUCAGGCGGGCCUAAAUAUUUCUUAUGUCCUUCUUCAUUUUCGAAGUCCAAGAUCUCAAUAAGUAAUCUCUUCGUAACCGGGUCAAUAUCCUUACCGAAAGUGAUGGCUGAUUUCUGGAAGUUACUAACCUGACCCGAUGAAUCUGCUCCAUAUAGCUCCAGACAUCACAAAAACUCUGCACUCACUAAGAUUUUCCUUGCACAGAAAUAGGUUGUCAUAUGCGAAAAAUAGAUGCUACACAGAGGGAUAUUUUUGGGUGAGUUGCAUACCUGUGAUUAGUCCAUUUCAUUCUGCUGUGUUCAUAAAAUGCACCAAGGCUUCUAUGAGAAUAUAAGCUCCACGUCGAAGUUUAACUGGGACAUCUCUAUAAUAUUAUUUGAGAUAUCAGUUUCGUAUGUGUCUCAUUCACGUUAAUUCUCAUGAUAGCUAAUUACAUUGAUAACCUUAUUGAAUUAGUACUAUUAUGCAACUGCCAUUAUCAAAAUUUCUGUUGUGAUUUUUUAUAGUAAUUUUUUGUUAAAUAUCAAAAAGGAAAAUAUCCAUAUAUCUUUCAAAGCUAUUUGGUAUCUUUAAAUAUAUGUAUUUGGAUUUGAUAAGAUAGGUAUAACAAAUAAUUAAUUAAAAAAUAUUUUUCAUUUUUUUAGAAACAUAUACAUAUGUAAUCAAUUAUACUAAAAAAAUAUUAUCUAUUAUUUAUUUUUAAUAAGUAUGAGAUCUAUAUUUACAAAAAAAAUAUUUUAUGGAUUAAAAAUAUUUAUUAUUUUAUUUUCAAAAUAAAAGUUACUCGAGAAAUUGUCUAAAAUACCACAAGUUAAGUACCACUUUUCAGAAAUACUUUCAAUCCAAAAUAUAUAAACAUUUGGGUUUAGGAUUUAGUGGUUAUUUUUUAGUGUUUAGUAUUAAACGGUUUGGAUUGGGCUUACAAAUGUUUUAUAAAUAUUUUGAAAAAUUAGCUUAGCAGUAUUUUGUCACAAAUUUAAAAUAUUUAUGAAAAUAGUCAUUCAUUAAUGGUAAAUUUAAAAAGUGGUAUCAAAUUUAUGGUAGAAUUAAAAUUUCCCCUAUUUAAUAUUAAAGUGAGAAAUCAAUAUUUUUAAUUUCUUUAUUUUUCUUCUUCUACUAUAGUUAUAAAAACAUAUAUAAAAUUAUAUAGAAUUUUAUAAAUCUAUAUUUACAAAUGUAAGAUAAAUAACAAAACUAAAUGAAAAGUCAAAAAUAUUAACUUUUUAACCUUAGAACCAAGAAAAACAAUUAUUUCAAUUUAGAGAAGUUGGUGCAAUUAAUAUGUUUUAAAAUAAUUAAUCGAAUGGUCUGAAUUGUUAUACAUAAAAUUAUAUGUCAAAUAAUAUAAUUUAAAAAUAUACUUAAUUAUAUAUAUAUAUAUAUUAUAAACCAUCUUAGCAAAACAUUAAUCAUUUAUUAUUAUAUAUUAUUUAUAAAUAUUUAAAUAUGUUUAUAACUUUUUAAAAUAUCACUGAUUAUAUUGGUUAAUGUGUUAAUUAAAUUGAGACUUAGUUUUCUUUUUGUCAGCAACAUAAACAGACUCAAACUGACUCUACAAACCAAACUGGUAGCUCCACAUCAAUAUGGACAACAAAACGAUGGUUGCUUCCUUGCACUGCGUGCUAGGCUGUCCGCCUUAGAAUUAUGUGUGCAUGGUAUAUGGAUGAUUUAUGAGCUCUGGAAGCUCAUCUUCAAGAUUUUUAUGUCUUCCAAAUAAUUUGCAAAGGUUGGUCAUUAUUCUGGUUUUGAAACAAUUUCACCAACUGAGAAUAAUCCGUUGCAAAUGUAACUGUAAAUUGCCUGAGAUUUCGCAUACAUUCCAAUGCUCAAAUCAAAGCAUCGAUCUCCGAGUGUAAGGGAGACUGAGCCGCUCUUGUAUUCUUCGCUCCCAUUAAACCAUCAAAACCUUUCAGAGUGCUAUACCAUCCUUGUCCGGAAAAGGGUUCUUUGGUUUUCCAUGACCCAUCUGUAAAACACCAUCUACCUAAGAUAGCCGGUACCAUUGGUUUCACCGCCAAGCGAGAAUGGUCAAGUGUCUGUAUAAGUAAGUGAUUACUUAUACAGAUCCAUGCAAAUUGAUGAUCUUCCAACUCUGGAAAGAUCCUCCUAAAUAAAUGAUCCAUGUUUGUAAAGAUAGGUUGGGUGGAAAAUAUUUUUGGGUUUGAUGGAAUGCGAGAGAGCGCCCAAACCUGAACCGCCGGUAGACAUUCAAAGAAAACAUGAUUAAUGGAUUCCUCAGGGUCUUCACAUCUUGCACAAAUCGUACCACCUUGUAUUCCUCGUGCUCGUAAUUUUUUCUUGACUGCAAUACAUCCUAUGACCAAUUGCCAUAAAAAAGGGCUUCAUCUUAGGUGGACAACAAAUUUUUCAGCAGUGAGCCUUCAAUGGAUUGACUGAAAGACCGUACUCUGGUAACGUUCUUUCUCCAUCCGGAUACACUCGUUCUAAUUGGUAUCUGGAUUUAACCGUGUAUCUCCCAGUAUUAGUGAAAUGUUAUCCAUCUCGAUCUGGUGACGAAAAUCAGCUGAGUGGAAUGAUUUCAAUUAAUUCCACAUCUUGAGGAUCCACCAGAAUCCGAAUACCUGUAAAGUUCUUGUUCUUGAUUCUAUAUUGAUGAGAGAAUCCACCGUAAGGUCCGGGUAAAUGUUGUGUUGAAAUUUUAUUUACUGGUCUCCGGCGAGUGGAUGGAAGCCAAAAAUUUUAUUUUUCUAAUUCUUCGUUAAACAAUAUAUUUAAUCAUACAAAUUGUUAUCAAAUAUAUUUACAAGAGGAUAUGAUGAAUGAACCAAAUAUAAUUAAAAUUCUUUUUUGUAAUAUAUCUAAAAAUAAAACAAAAUGGGAUUCAACUGAAAAGUAAACAACCUAAUGCGAAAUAAAUUAAACCGUUCAAAUUGUUAUACAUAUAUAUAAUUAAAAUAACAACAUAAUUUUAUUUAAAUACAUUAUUCUGUUUAAUUAUUUUUCAUACAUAUAGAUUAUUAAAUAAUUUAAAAUCUAUCAAAAAGUGGAAACGAUAGAUUAAUUAAUUAUAAUUUGACUAUUUUGUAAAUAUUUAUAUAUGUGCUUGAGCACAGAAAAAUCACCUAGUGAGUGAAAUGUGAGAGUAAGUUCACUUAUGACAAUUGGUUUUUUUUUUUUUUUUUUUUUUUUUUUUGAUGAAAUGUGAAAUUUAUUGAUAAGAGUAAAAUAAUAGGCAUUUACAAAAGAAUAUGGAAACUAUAUGAGUAGGCUAUACAAAGAAGCAAUAUUUUAUGAAAAAAACCUAUGGCCUGUCAAAUACUUCAAACCAACGUUGAAGCAAUCCAGCAAACCGAUGAACCGGCCCAUAACGAAGAGAGCUGAUCCUGUUCCGUAUGGCUUUAUCAACGAUCCGGAUAGCUUGGUCCACCGUACGAAAGCCUCUCUGGUGUCUGCGUUCAUUCCUCUCCUUCCACAUAUAGUAAACACAAGUCUGGAACACCAUUUUCAGUAGGAUCUUAUCCAUAAGCUGAAGAUUAUUGUUAGUAACAAACUGCAGAGUGAGCGACCAGUCCGGAUUGAUCCUUCUGCCACACAAACUACCUGCUAGUCUAUCCCAAACAGAGUAUGUGUAAGGGCAAGCAAAGAAGACGUGAUCCCUUGUCUCAUCCCACUCACCACACAUCACACACCCUUGCUGAAUGCCCCACGCCCGCAUACGAUCUCCUGUAGAAAGUCUGUUCUUAACAGCCAGCCAGACAAUGAAGGAGUAUCUAGGGACUCCUUGAGUGAACCAGACACAUUUACUCCAAGGUACAGUGGCCUUUCUCACACGUAUCUGAUCCCAUGUUCGAACCGAAGAGAACUGCGCUUUAUAAGUGUCCUCUGCAUGUUUCCAAAGAACCUUAUCCCUCCCUUGAUCUUCCUGCGGCACCUGAAUAUUCUGGAUACUCUCAUAUAAAUCAUGAAAGUGACGACUACGCUGGCCUCGAAUGUUCCAGCGAGAUUGAGCAACUGCAUCAAUAACUCGAGCAUUCCGGGCUACUCCAAGGUAACAAGUACCUACAGCGCCAGUAAUGUCAAUAAGCCUGCCCAUCUGCAGCCAAUCAUCAAACCAGAAAAAAGCCUUUUGUCCAUCAUUGAUCUCAAACCUAAUAAACUGAUAAGCUAGAGGCCUCAGCUUUAAUAAUUUCCUCCACAUCCAAGAACCCUUUCCAUGUAAGUCCGAAUUAAGCAUGAUAUCAGAGUCCGACACACAUUGCCCAAACUGAACCGAAAUCGAUCCGGCCCAUUAAAAGAAUGAGAGAUACCCUAUCGAUCCUAAACCGACCUGGCCCGAAUGUUCAUGCGGUCUGACUGAACUGAAUCCUAAAUUGGGAUAUUAUCAAGAUUAAUAGUUAUAGGAACCAUUAUCUCGAGAGAUGGUACGAGAAUAUAAGCUCUCACAUCGGGACUCUAACUGAGACAUGAGAAAUAUAUAAAGGAUUCAGGCCCGGCUUAAAUAUUAAAUGGGCCCUGUGCUAAGUUAAAUUUUUCUAAUAAUUUUAGGUAUAUAAUUGUUACUUUCACAACUAAGACCCUAAUAUUUAUACAUUCUAACAAAACAGGGCCCUAAUUUCCUUAAGAAUUUUUUUUUUUAAAACAAGACCCUGUGCAAAUGCACUGUGUGCACUACCUCUAAGCCGGCACUGAAAGGAUUAUAGCCAAUCUAUUUAUCACAAACUGGUUUGGUUUUAAAUUGAAAGCACAAUGAACCCGAAUUUAGCAGGUUCAACACAAAUGAUGAAAUGAUGAAUAAGAAAGGAAUUAAUGGAUCUUCAUACCUAAUUCCCUUUUACGGAGUGAAAUGCUCAUUAGAUUCUCCAUUGAUCAACCCUGUAUAAGAAACAGUUCGAACACAGCACAUCAUCCAACUAAUCUAUCGCCUAUCAAAACCCAUGUUCACAAAAAAAUCAUAGACUAUAAUAGAAAUCGAGAAAUAAAUCAAUUACUACUAGCUGUAUAUAACACAUCAUUGGACUAUUAAUUAUUGUUUCCAACACAUGCAUAUUAUUUUAUUGAUUUAUCAAAAAUGUUAUCAACAUUUUGUAACCAAUAUGACCUAGAGAGUGCUUAUAGAAAACAUAUUAUUCUCAUAGAUAUAUCCAACAGACAAGUCCUUGCGCAUUACUAGUCCAACUCUCCCGUAUACAAACGCAAUUAAUCUCGCGAAACUGAUUCUUAAAAUCCCUAAAUCACACAAUUUUCCCAGUAAAACCGAGUUUUUUUUUUUUUUGCAAAAGUAAAACCGGAAAUUCUUCCGGUCAUAGAAACAUAAGAGACCAUUAGUUUUUCUUUUACUCAACUUCAACUUUCAUUUGCCAAAGCCUGGCAAGUAACAACCGAUCACGUUGACCACCAAUGAAAACAAAUUAGUUAAUUCAACCGGUGAAGAUGAACGGAAAGAGACGAUUAGUUAGCUCCGUAAUAAAGCGAGUCGCAAAAAUUAAUUAUAUAUGCCUCUCCACAUGCACGGCAUAGACCAAAAUAGUUCAUUGCACUAGCUCAAAACUGUAAAGUCCAUCCCGCUUUACUACUUGAAUUAUCACAAGCGAAUCCUUAUUUCCCAAAUGUUAGCAUCUGCAUAAGCGAUCUCAAUCAGUCAAUCGUAUAUCUUAGGUGAUUGAUCAAAAGUGUUCAUAAUUCAUGGGAUUCAUUGUACUAAUUAUCAAAAUAGCCCAAGAAAAUCCUUAUCCCACCUCCACCCUAAGCAGAACCGGCUUUUGAGCCAAACUAAAGAAACUCAUGCUUACAACUGAUAUUCAAUAAAUAACUUUUAAACAAAUAUUUUAUUUGAAAAUAUUUCAAAGCUCCAACCUUUUAGUAUCAAAUCUCUUUCCUGCUCUGACUCUUGGUUAUGCUUCAUUAGAAUUAUGUGACGGUAAAAAUAUUAGUGUUGGGAUGGAUUAGCAAAAGGGUCUAUUACUACGAACACUGGUGCCGUGGUGCACCAGAGAACACAAGAAUAGAGUGAGAUCCUCAAAUAAGAGUUCAAUGUUCCUUUUUAUUGUCAACAUAAUCAAUAUUUCAUCUAUAUACUACUAUUAGUAAACUCUACUGUAGGCCCGAGCUUCUGAAUCUAAUACCCAUAUAACAAUCAAACUUUAUUUACUAUAAACUUUAUAAGAAUUACAACACAAUCAUUACACAAUAGCAAUUUCACUAAAUAAAUAUAUGAAACUAUGGUUUCACAGGAAUACUCUGUUCGUUCCUGAAGAAGUUCCCACUAUCAACUCUCGUCUUAAUCUUCACCAACCUCUCGAAAUUUCCGUUGAAAUAUUUCUUCCCGUAACGUUCACCUUCCACGUAGCUCCGGACAACUCCGUCGUGAGAAUUAAUCCCCAAGUCAACAUCCCGAUAGUUAAAAUACGACUGUCUCGGAUUCUUGGAAACAAAAGGAGUCAUGAACCGGUACAGCUCCCUAGUCAGCUCCAUAUACCGGUUCGUCAACCUAUCUUCUCUCCAGUUCGCACCGUACUGAAUCUUCCAGAGGUUCCCUGCUCUGUAUGGGAACGGAGUAGCCGUGGACGGAACCCUCCCCAUCAUGCCGCCGUAUGGAUUGAAAGCCAUCGUUGGGAUUUCAAGCUCGAUCAUCUUCUUCCAUAUAGAUUCUAAACCGGUUCUUGAAAUCGGUUCGCGGACGUAAUCGGACUUCCUCUUGAGAUAAUUAACGGUUUGGUUCCUCUGGAGGAGAACUGUCUCCGGCGUACCAACACGGAUAUUCGUCCAGAAAAGCACUGACUGGAUCCAGCUCGUCUCGGUACAGUCUGAUCGGACCAGACCCAGUUCUGGUAAUCUCCGGUUUAAUAUAGACAGAAGCGUUGAUGCGUCUCCGAGGAACAUACCUACGAAAGAUGCCCUAACGGUCUUUUUAGAAGAAACGGUACCGUUUACUACGUCAAUGACGACUCUUAUGAAGAGCUCGUCGGGAAGCACUGAAGCGACUUGUUGCCACUGGUGAACGAUCUCCGUCGCGUUUUGUUCCAACGUCCGGGAGACUCUAAAAACGGUGACGUUUUCAGGGACUUCGACGAGGUUUAUUUUGUAGGCCAAAACGACGCCGAAGCUUCCUCCUCCUCCUCCGUUGAUUGCCCAGUAGAGAUCCUCUCCCAUCAUUUUUCUAUCCAAAAUAUUUCCUGAAAUUUUAAAAUAUAAUAUAGUGAGUAAAUAAUUAUAUAUUAAACAUAAUUGCGUCUAACGUUUAUAUAUAUUGUUCAGGUGAUUGUCUAAACUGAAUAAUCCUUUAAAUUAUCUUAACCAAAAUUUUAAGCAAAAUCACUGUGUCCUAAUGAGUAUGGUUGAUUUUAGGACAUUGAGUAAUACUUUAAAAUUUUAAUCAGCACAUACAAUAAGGAAGCUACAGGGAUAUUGAUUAUACCAUUGACAUCGACCAUUCUUGCAUCGAUAGUAUUAUCGACGGUUAGACCGUACUUUCUCAUUAUGUUUCCGUACCCUCCGCCGCUAAUAUGGCCACCAACACCAACCGUCGGACAAAUCCCUGCCGGAUAAGCUAGGGUUUUGCUUUUCUCCCAUAUAUAGUAAUAAACUUCUCCGAGAAUGGCACCGCUUUGGACCCACGCGGUUUUACUCGCUAGGUCAACAUCAACCGACCUGAGAUUAAACAUGUCGAGGACAAAGAACGGCUUCCCAGAGUACGUAACGUAUGACAAGCCGUCGUAGUCGUGGCCGUAACGGUUUGGUUCCUCUGGAGGAGAACUGUCUCCGGCGUACCAACACGGAUAUUCGUCCAGAAAAGCACUGAUUGAAUCCAGCUCGUUUCGGUACAAUCUGAUCGGACCAGACCUAGUUCUGGUAAUCUCCGGUUUAAUAUAGACAGAAGCGUCGUUGCGUCUCCGAGGAACAUACCUACGAAAGAUGCCCUAACGGUCUUUUGAGAAGAAAGGGUACCGUUUACUACGUCAAUGACGACUCUUAUGAAGAGCUCGUCGGGAAGCACUGAAGCGACUUGUUGCCACUGGUGAACGAUCUCCGUCGCGUUUUGUUCCAACGUCCGGGAGACUCUAAAAACGGUGACGUUUUCAGGGACUUCGACGAGGUUUAUUUUGUAGGCCAAAACGACGCCGAAGCUUCCUCCUCCUCCUCCGUUGAUUGCCCAGUAGAGAUCCUCUCCCAUCAUUUUUCUAUCCAAAAUAUUUCCUGAAAUUUUAAAAUAUAAUAUAGUGAGUAAAUAAUUAUAUAUUAAACAUAAUUGCGUCUAACGUUUAUAUAUAUUGUUCAGGUGAUUGUCUAAACUGAAUAAUCCUUUAAAUUAUCUUAACCAAAAUUUUAAGCAAAAUCACUGUGUCCUAAUGAGUAUGGUUGAUUUUAGGACAUUGAGUAAUACUUUAAAAUUUUAAUCAGCACAUACAAUAAGGAAGCUACAGGGAUAUUGAUUAUACCAUUGACAUCGACCAUUCUUGCAUCGAUAGUAUUAUCGACGGUUAGACCGUACUUUCUCAUUAUGUUUCCGUACCCUCCGCCGCUAAUAUGGCCACCAACACCAACCGUCGGACAAAUCCCUGCCGGAUAAGCUAGGGUUUUGCUUUUCUCCCAUAUAUAGUAAUAAACUUCUCCGAGAAUGGCACCGCUUUGGACCCACGCGGUUUUACUCGCUAGGUCAACAUCAACCGACCUGAGAUUAAACAUGUCGAGGACAAAGAACGGCUUCCCAGAGUACGUAACGUAUGACAAGCCGUCGUAGUCGUGGCCGCCGCUUCUGAUUUUCAUCUGAAGGUUGUGACGUCGGCCACAAGUAAUUGCGGCUUGAACGUGUGAUUCGUGUGUUGCGGCGAUUAUAAGCAGAGGUUUGGGAGUUGUGGAGGUGUUGAACCGGAGGUUGCGGAUGUAGGCUUCUAGUACUGAGGAGUAGGAGCUGUUUCCGGAGAAGAUCACGGCAGAGGAGAUGGGAUGUUUGGGGUCGGAGUUCGACGUUAGGCAUUGUGUGAAAGUCUCGGAAUUUGCUAAUGAUGAGUUUGAUUCCCAUAUGGUGACAAUGAAUAAGAUCAAAGCUAGCAACGUUGUUCUUGAACGUUUCAUUUUGAGCAAUGAAAUAAGAAUAAACAAAUUUUUAUGUUUGUAAAUUUCGUUAUGGCUUUUGAAGGUAUAUAUAAUAGAGAACUAAGAGAAGAUCAUGCAUGACGCCAAAAUGUUUGACCAAGAAAAGUCAAAUGUGGGUUCAACUUGUCUCAUAAUUUUUUUAUUUUGCGUGAUGACAAUGUUAUAGUAUUUAGUUAUAGGGAAAAUCGCAUAAAAAACCUUGAAAGUGUCACUUACUCGCACUUUAAACCUUGAACUUUUUUCACUAACACUUUUAACCUUCAAAGUGACAUUUUUAUCAUAAAAAACCUCCAAAGAAGAAAAAUGACCUGUUUAACAGGUUAAAAACAGUUUUUUUUUUCAAAAAAUAAUUAUUUAAUUAAUAAAUAAACAAAAAAAUUAAUAAAAAUCGAAAAAUUAAACAAAAAACUCCUAAAUUAAAAAAAAGUGAGAAAAAUAAAUAACGAUUUAGAAAAUUAAAUAAAAAAUAACUAAACAUUCAAAAAUAAAUAAGAACAAAUUAAAAUAGAGAAAAAAUAAUAAUAAAUUUCAAAAAUUCAAAAUUCAAAAAAGUCUUUUUUUUUUUCAUUUCAAAUAUAAUGUCGAAAAUUAUCAUUGGAGAUAUGCCAAAAACCGUCAUUGGAGAUAUGUCGGAAAUAACGGUUUUUGGCAUAUCUCCAAUGAUACGGUUUUUGACAUAUCUCCAAUGAUAAUUUCUGACAUUAUAUUUAAAAAUGAAUGUUGAAUUUUCAUUUUUUUUUUGAAAUUUAUGAUUUUUUUUAUUUUUCUCCAUUCUAAAUUGAUCUUAUUUAUUUUUUGAAUUUUUUAUUUAAUUUUUUAAAUAUUUAUUUAUUUUUUGAAUUUUUUGAAUUCAUGAGUUUUUUGUUUAAUUUUUCGAUUUUUAUUAAUUGUUUUGUUUAUUUUAUUAAUUAAAUAAUUAUUUUUUGAAAAAAAAAACUGUUUUUAACCUGUUCAGCCGGUCAUUUUUCUUCUUUGGAGGUUUUUUAUGAUAAAAAUGUCACUUUGAAGGUUACUCCUUUUUUUUUUUACAUUUUCUACUUAAUUAGUCUGAAUGUACUGCAGUACAAAAGCAUAAGAGAUGCAAGAAAAAUGAUAAUGCAGAUGGUACUGCAUUUUGUAUUAAUUCAUAGAUAAAAUGCAGAACUUGAAAAUAACAAUAAUAUAUUUAUGUGCUGCAUGCAGAACACUAAUGUGUUGUUUUAUUGUACUACAGCUAAAAAGGAGGGGAGGAAGGACGGUUCAAAGGCAGAUGUCCAAUAGCUUUGCUGUGUUACUUUUAUUGGAUCCAAAACAUAUGUAAUUUACUUUUUUUUGAUCAAACCAUAAUUUCCUUCAACUUAUUAUCUACAACUAGUACAAUACUUUAUUUACUUUGAUUAAGUAAAAAAAUUCACUUAUUCUCUAAAAAUAUACACAUGCAUUUUCAUAUUUUUUUUAUCAAUUUUAUAUUUUAAUACAUGCAAUAUUUUUAUUUUUUGUUUAAAUAUUUUUUUUCUUCAAAUUGAUCCAUAUAUCUACAUCCAUUAAAACAAUUCAAAAAUUAAGCUAUUAUUUAAUUAAUUAUAAAAAUAAUCCAUUUAAAUAAGUUAGAUUUAUAUUCAAUAAUACUCAGCAAAUUUUGUACUUAUUCUCUAAAAUAUAUUAUAACUCAUGCAUGUGUUUUUAUUUUUUUUUGUUUAAUUAGUUAUUUUUAUUUUUCAUUCUAUUUUAUAUAUCUGUAUCCAUUCAAAUGAAAUAUUAAAAUAUGUUUUGAAUUAGUUAUGUUUAUUGAAUUAUAAAAAUUUAAUAUGUGACAAAUAAGUUAAUGUUGAUGAAUAUGAUAUUCGAUAAAAGUUUUUAUUUGUUUCUAAUAUAUAUAUUACAAGAAAAUUAUGUAUUUUUAUUUUCUUUUUUAAUUAAAACUAAUAUUUUAUUUUAUAUAUUUAACUUACAUUUUUGAUGUCUUGCAUUUUUACAUCUUUUAAGCAUUCAUUUUCAUCACGUUCUAGCUCAUUUAGAUUUCAUUUAGUAUUAUAGAGUGCAUUUGCAUGUUCAUUUGUAUGUUUUCAGGUUUUGGAGGAGAUUAAGCCACAAAAGGUUGAAAUAUCAACAUGGAUGAAGGUCUUAAAUAUAUUCUUUGAAGCUCAUCUUUUUCGAGGACAUAUGAAAUAGAGUUAGCUUUCUAAUGGAGGUAGUUUCAAGUAAUUUGGAGCUGUAUUGAAGAAGUUAUAACCGAUUUACUGGAAUCAUAUCAAUCAUACUGCAAAGAUAGGAUGGACCGCGGUGGAGGCCACGGAUUGAAGCCGUCCGCGGAUUUGGGCCAGUGAGGUCGAUUAAAGAAGCCAUGGGCCGCGGGUGGAGGCCGCGGGAUGAAGCUGUCCGCGGAUUCGAGGCAGUAAUGUCGAGUUUGGUGUAGACGGACUGCGGACACAGACUGCGGACUGGUGCCGUCCGCAGAUUUAAACCCGAGAGGUCAUUGUUGGAGUGGAUUGACCGCGGACCACAGCCGCAGACCGAAACCGUCCGCGGUCGAUAUAAAAACCAACUUACCCAUUUUUUAUUGGGUCAAACCCGUGUUUGUUGGGUCGGACCGGUUCGAGUUUUAAGCUAUUAUAAAUACAUUUUAGACCUAAUAUUAGGACUUACCUCAUUUUCUGUCAAGACUUUGUCUAAACGUGUAAAAACUUGAAUCUUUUGAUAAUCUAAGGAAGUACUUCAUCUUAUAUUUGUGUUUCUCUUGAUCAUUAACAUGAUUAGCCUUGAUCCUUACAUGGGUUUAAGGUGUCUCAUGGAGAUUAGUGAGUAGUGACCUUGUGAUUCAUGGAUUAGAUAGAUUAGGGUGAUUAAGUGGAUAUUUAGGAUGUUUAUUGCUUGAUUAACAAUGUUCUAUGCUUGCUAAGUGUUAUUAAUGCUAGAUUAGACUUGAUAACUCUCAUCUAGACCUUAAGUUAUUUUACGCCCAUAAAGUGUUUGUUAAAAUGCUUGACUGAGCUUAGCAUUGUCUUUUACAUAUUUGGCCAACGGCAAUUGAUGUCCGAUAUGUUUAAGUGGAUAGUAGACUUGUGAUUUAUGCAUGCUUGAAUGUGUUAGCCAACGGGAGUUGAUGUUUGAUGCAUGACUAGCAUAGGGAUUAUUAUCACGGAAGUGAAUUAAUCUAUUGUGAAUGAGAUCUAGACCUAUAGACUUGUUUAUUGUUUUGUUUGAACAUUCUAGAUUGAACCUUUAUCACCUUAUAUCAAUUAUAUUUGCCCAUGAAUCCAUCCUUAGCAUUUGAUUGAAUUCUUGCACUUAUUUCUUGAUUGGAUUUGAGAUCACCUUGUUUAUAUUUCUAGGAUAUUAGCUUGUUACAAAUCAUCCAUCUUCUUGUUUGCUUAGAUUAGUAAAGUUUGUGUAUUCUUGGUGUUAUAGAUCACUAGUUCCUUGUGGAUUCGAUCCUAAAAUGCUACAAUGACAUACCAUUCGAUUGUGGUAUUAUUGGCACAUUAGGUUAAUUGGUGUGUGCUUAAACGCAGUAAUCAAUUUGGCGCCGUUGCCGAGAAACUAAGUAGAUUUGUCAUCAGGAUUUCAAACUUUCUUGAGACUAAGCUUUAUUUUCUUAUGUUUUAUUUUGCUUUGUUUGGUUACUAAUUCCCUUUCAAGUGAUUGUUCUUUUGCAAGGUACAUCCAGAGAGGAAGAUCAUAUCUCUCGACUUGGAAUCAAUUCUCAAAGCUAUUUUAGAGAGUCAAGAAAAGAUGAUAUCUAAAAGCUCCACAUCUUGUGAAAGAGCUUAUGAACCAACCACCUCAUUGGAGUAUCAACCGCAUGAAAACCUUGGUCAAGGCAACCAAUAUAGAUAUGGUGAGAGACACCAACACUAUAUUUAUAACUUAUUUAUAAUAAGUUGUAUUUGUUCAGAUAUUUAAUUUUUAUCAAAAAUUUCAACAUGUAUUUAAUUAUAAUAAUUUAUUAAAUUCUUGAUCUGCAUUUUUUUGCUUGAUCUGUAUUUGUUCUGUUUGAUUUGCAUUUUUGUUUGAUCUGCGUUUUUUGAUAUGUGUUACCCAUUUGAAGCAGUGAGAGAUUCCUUAUAAGACAAUCUCCAUAAAUAACCUUAUUUUAAAGUUUGAAAGAAUUUUAAAUUUAAUGUUUGAUGACGUUUCUUUCCAAAAGAAAAACCUUAUAUUAAACCUUAAUUUUUAUAAUUUAUAUUUUGGUACUUACUAUUGAUAUAAAUUAGUUACAAUCAUCCAAAUUUUAUAGAUAAAUGUAAAAUCUACAACUGAAUAUUUUUUAUAAAAUAUACUGUUAUGGAUUUAUUCAAUCUGAACAUAGAAUAAUAAUAUAAUGCAUUCAUAAAUAAUGACUUUCAAUUAAGUCAAAUUAUAUGGGUUGUUUUGGAGAUUUUGUAAUUUUAAAUCAAAUUUACAUAAAUUUUAGUAGUAUUUUAUUUUUUUUACUUUAUAUAUGACAGUUAAAUUAUAGAAUAUAUCUAAAAUUUUAUUAUAUAUAAUAUUUUAGGGAUUAAAAUGAUAAAAGAAAAAAGUUAAUACGAUUAUUCGAAAAACAUAAGUGUAAAAAAGAUUAAAGUAAGAAACCUUAAAUAUAAGAUUUUAAACAGUGAAACCUUAUAUUUAUAGUUUUACAGUUUAAAACCUUAAAAUUUAAAGUUUUUUUCGCUUUUAAAAUGUGCAAAAUUUUAUUUUUGAAAUUUUGAGGUUGUUUUUUGGAAAGCUCUAAUAACCCCACCAAUGCAAAUGCUCUUAUAACCAGUUAAGGAUCGUUAAUUACUAACAUUUUUCCGAACUAUGAUCAAGACAGUUAACGACCUAAUUAUUUGAAUCAAAUUGUUGAUAAAGAUUUGUCGUGUGAUUGUUUUUUUUUGGUGUAAGAUUGUAUGAUUGUUUAUAAUAUAUUUAAGUUCUAAAAGAUAAAGUUACGUAUGCUUUUUUGACAGAAAAAAAUACGUAUGCUUUUCUUGACAAAAAUAUUUACGUAUGCUUUCUUUUCUUCAUAAACAAAAGGUAUACACGAUGAAUACGUGUUUUUUAUAUGUGAGAAUUAUUGACUAAAGUAUAACAUGAAGGAUACAGUUGAGCGGCUGGUUUGACUUUCAUAUGGUUGACCUAUCAUUGGAGCCGUAAACGAAGAAAAAAGGAAAAAGGGAAUUUGAGAUGGAUUCUUCUUAUACAGUAACAAACUGAUAAGAAUAUUAUUUAGAAAUUCACAAAACAAAAUUAUAAACUAGCACAAAAAUGUAUUAGAAACCUUUUUAUAAAGAGAUUAUUUAAGUUUUAGUUCCAGCAAAAAAAUGAUUAAUGCAUUUUGUAUCAGCACGUUUUUUUUUUUGCCGUACGAAAGCAAAAGAUGAUUGACGAAAGCACUUGGGUUAGAAGGAGAAGUGCCAAUCUGACACAAGUUACAUUUUUUCAACUAAAAUAAUCAUAAACAUAGUUUAGCAAAAAAAAAAAUAAUCAUAAACAUGAAAAGAGAUUAGUGCGUCUAGUCAUCUUUUAUCUCUAAUCGCGAAACACGUAAAAUAAAACUGAUUAACGCACGUAAACAAGAUGAUGCCAUGCACGCAUCAUGGUGUCGUAAUCACAUUAGCAGAUUUGCUCCAAAGUUGAUUUUACCAUUUUAAGCAAAAUGCAGUAAUCAUUAUGAUUGUCUGGCCAAUGAAGCGGCUCAAGCCCGAUAUGCACCAAGAACAGCACAACGAAUGUAGUCUUUGUGGCUUUUCUUUUCGCCGAGUAGGUCCAUGCAUUAAUUAGGCUAACUAAGGUCAAAUGACUAUUCUAGGCUUCUUUUUCCGUCGAACAUAAGAAAAUUAUUUACAUCGUCCUUCAAAUUUAAUAUUUAUGGAUCACCCAAAUUUAGUUUUGUUUAAUCCGAUUCUGUAAGUAUGAAAAGUAUGCACGAAUUUGAUGGUAAAUUAUUUGAAAGAUGUUUUAUUAAAAAAAAAAUUAAAAAAAGGAUUACAGAGGAGAUGAUUGAACUCUACGAGUUUAAGUUAAACUAGAUUUCCACCCGCACAACCGUGCGGGUAUAUAUUUUCACAUUUAUAUAUAUAGAUAAUUGUUUUACAUAAUCAGUAUAUAUUUUUAAUGUUACUCACAUAUUUAAAUUUUUGUAUAAUUAUGCCAAAAAUAAUAAUUUUAUAGUUUUCAUGCUGUAAAUUAAAAUCAUCACAUAUAUAUGUUGCUUAUUAUAUAUUUGUCUUAUUGAAUUUGCGUUUGAUUACUAAACUAAAUUUUUUAAUGCAUGAAACAACAUAUAUAAAGACAAUUUUGUAUUUAAUUUAUUAUAAUCAUGAUCCGUAAUUCAAAUCGCUAGAUUUUUUUAGUAAUUUUUUAAUGUUUAUUAAUUUUAUUUAAUAAAUUACUGUAUAUUAAAAAGUUUAAGAUAAGUUAAAUUUUUAUAAAUGUAUUAUAUAGUUUACUAAUAUUAACCCGUUCUACCAACAUAUUAUAUUUUUAGCAUAAAUAUUUUAUAUUUAUGAAAAUAAAAUAUGUUAACUUAUCAAUUUAAAAUAAUUUUAUCAUAUUUUGUUCAAUAUAACAUUUUUAUUUUAAAAUGAUAGAUAUUAUUAUAAAAUUGAUAAAAUAGGAUAUAAUUUUAUUCUUUUAGUAACAUUUCAUUACUAAUUACAAAAUUAGUUGAAAAUAUUUAUAUUCAAUUUAUGACAAUUAAGAUCUUAUUAUAAUCUUUUUCAAGAGAUUUGUUAGAAUUUUAAUUUUUUUUUUAAAAAAAUUAAAAGAUAUAAAAGAUAUUAUGAUUAAAGUAGUUAAAAAUAUUAUGUAUAUUAGCAUUAGUGAUAUACAUUUAAUAUAAAAUUUAAAUGAUGGUCCAAAUAAAAAUAUCACUCAUCUAAAAAUCAUGAUUUUUAUUUUAUUAGAAAACAAAUUUGAAAAAAUUAAAAUAAAUAUAAAUAUUUAUUUCUAACAAAAUCUUUAAAAAUUAUUAGUAAAUGUAUUUGUGAAAUUAAUUAAUUUUAUUUUAUUUAAAUUUUCGUUUAUAAAUCAAAAAUAUAUUCAAUUUUAAUUUCUAAUUAUAUUUUAUGAUAAUUUAAAUUAAAACUAACUAAUUUUUGAAAGUAAAUUUAAAAAGAUUCUAAGAAGAUUUUUAAAAGAUUUUGUUAGAACAUUUUAAAUAUAUUCAUUUGUAUUUCAAAUAAAAAGAUAAUGAUGAUAAAAAAUAUAAUAGUGAACUUAUGUAAAAUAUGAUAUUUUUUAGGAAUGGUCCAAACUAAAAAAAAUCACACAUGAAAAGAAGUCAUGACUUCUGUUUUAAUAUAUAAGAUGGACGAGAACAUAAAUCAAAAGGUAAAUUCUAGUUUUUUUUACUUAAGUAUAUUUUUCUUGAUUCUUUAUUAGAUUUUAGGUUCUAUUUUUUAAAAACAACCUCAGCAACUUUUGCAACUGAUCAAGUAACUGACCGCAUUAAAAAUUAAAGAAGCAAUAUUUGCAAUACAUCCGGAUAAAGCCCUUAACCUGAUAGUUUUCUAGCCAGUUUUUUUUCAAGUUAACUGAGAUAUAGUAGGACCAGACGUUGUGAAGGAGAUCAGAAUGUUCUUCGAGACAGGAAUCCUUAAACCAUCACAAAAUGUAACAAAUGUUAGACUUAUUCCCAAGAUUAUAGGUGCAAAGAGGGUGGCUGACUAUCGUCCUAUUUCUCUAUGCAAUGUGUAUUUCAAGAUUAUCUCUAAAUUACUGGCACUCAUACUGAAACCAACUCUACGCAAGAUUAUUUCAGAGAACCAGUCAACAUUUAUACUGGGAAAGACACAAUGGCAGUCAAAACUGAUAUGUCUAAAGCAUAUGAUAUAGUGGAAUGGAGAUUUAUCUCACAAGUGCUUCAGAGACUAGGUUUUCACGAGAAAUGGGUUAAGUUGAUCAUAGAAUGUGUGACUACAAUUUCUUAUUCUUAUUUGAUCAACGAUUCAGUUCAGGGUUCGGUCAUACCUAACAUGGGGAUAAGACAUGUGAUGAGCCCCAGUCCAUGGAUCAGUACAUGGAACUAGCUCAGCAUGGAGAUCAGGACGUUCUGAACAAUUCAACCGAGGUUCGCCCAUCCGACCGUACCAAUCAGACAAACCAAGCCGUGUACCGGAUCGACCCAUGCUUCGUCCGGAAUGGAGUUUCGGCUGGAACCACGAUCAGACCACCGAACUGACCGUACCACAGCUCGUCUUUCCCGACCAUCUCGACAUUCUAAGGACAAUAGUCGAGCCAGACUUAAGUUGGGUCGUUAAGAACCCAAAGACGGACAUGCAUUCUUACCCGGCGGACCAUCCGGACAGUCCCGCGUGCGUCCUUCUCCUUACCGCAUUGGACACAGCCAGUUCAGAUGAAACUGGAUAGUAGCCGAACGGUCAUCCUGACUGGUCUUCAUCAGAUUCCGCACUUUUGACUCAUUUAUCAUUUUCUAGGUAAUGUUUUCAUUUUCUAUGUCUUGUUUUCUCCAUAAUUCUUUUUGUUAGUCUUUGACCACAAGUACUAUAAAUAUGUAAUCUCAUUCUAUGAAUAAAUCAGUCUAUGUUUAAGUUUAUUUUUGUUUUCUUAUUUUUUCUGAGUGAGAGAGAGAGAGAGAUAGAGUUCUUUAGCUAGUUCAUUGGUGUGAACCGGCUUGCUGAUUUGGUGGUCAUCCAGUUCAUCUUUGUGUGUUGUUUGGUGGUUAGCCAACGCACUACAUUCUUUCUUAGGUGGUUAGCCUUAGAUCGUGAGUGUAUCAAGAACCAUUCCGCAUCUCUUGACGAUCCUUUCAAUCCUUCGCAGUUUCAGAAGGGCCAUUUGCCUUCUCGGAUCAUAUCCAACAUCCAGUUAAAGUGAUCCUCCAAUUCAUGGCGUAUCAAGUGGUACCUGAGCCACUUUGGCUGGUUUGUUUUCAUUUCAUCAUUUCAUUCUCAUCUCUCCACAAAUUUCUUUUAUUAUUUCUUGUUGGAUCCGGGCUGUACAUUUACUCUCUUGUGAUUGCCCUUAAAAAAACGAUAAAAAAAAGAGUAAACAUUUUUGGCUUGAAUCACUUCUGAAGAGAAAUCGUGGGGGAGUGGUGGAAAAGAAACCUUGCUGGCUGAAGAGAAACCCAGCCUUAGGACAGUUAAAGCGGAUCCACAUAUAAAUAUUUUCAUCUUUCUUUCUCUUUACCCUUAAAAGUUGUUUUGGGUUUUGAUUACUGAAUUUUUACUGCCUAUCAUAUUUGAACCAGUGAAAAGAAUUCUGAGUGAUUACCUAAAAAACGUGAGCUAAAUACUUUGAGAGUGUAAGGAUUUUUAUUUGCUAACUCUUUUGUUAAGUGUUUUCAGAAUGUUUGGGCUUCACAAGAAAUCAAAUCAGGCUUCAAAACUACAACAAGAUGUUUAUUAUCCUUUUAAAACCGUGCUUGAAAAAAAACAAUUGAUUUUUGGGGAUAAGAAACAUUUUUCUUCUAUUGGGUUUGAUUUUGUGCAGAAACAAAGAAACCAAAGGAAGAGGCAAAACAAGUUCGAUGAUGAUGAGAAGAUGGUCAGAAAUGGUGAUCGUCUCUUCAGCAAAACCAAGAGGAGCAACUGUGACGUUCUUGAUCGGAACGAGCUUCAGACUUAUGCCAGUUUGGAGAAGAUGUUGCAUAAGGCAAUUUUCGCUAUUCAGAAACUCAAAAAGAAGGGAAACACCGACACUUCUUCUGCACCAAAACAACAAUGUAAGUUUUCUCCUCUUUCAAAUUCUGAUUUGAAAACUAAUGUGUUUUCUUUUGAUAAAAGCAAAGCUGUGAAACCCACAAGCAAAACUCAUUCUACCAUGUGCUUCAAAUGCCAUAGGAUCGGUCAUUAUGCUAACAAGUGCCAAAACCAUUGGUGACUUUGGAGAAUGAGAACGUUGAAACCGAGCCAGAAAAGGAAGGUCUAUUGCCAAUUUUUGAUGACUGUGCACAUAAGCCGAUGGCAGGUAGCUCUGAAUUGAUUUUUCAGUUUGAAAAGAAUUCUAAAAAGGUUUUGAACAAGAAUGAAUUUUCUGGUCCUUUGAAUGCUUUUGAUAUUGGCGCAUAUAUGACCUUGGUCUUGGAAGCUUUGUGUCAAUACAUGAAGGGUCAGAUGAAGAACAAAACUGUGGUCAUCAAGCAAACCAAGACAGAUUUUCUUCCAUUCAAAAGCUGGACCAAACUCAAGGUGAGCAAUGUUCUGAUUAUGAUUCUUUUGCUUAUAACCCUUUUCCUUUUAAUGUUCCAUCUUUUUGAAGAGGGAGUAAAUGAUGCGCCCCAGUCCAUGGAACCAGCUCGGCAUGGAGAUCAGGACGUUUUGAAUGAUUCAACCGAGGUUCGUCCAUCCGACAGUACCAAUCAGACUAACCGAGCCGUGUACCGGAUCGACCUGCAUUCGUCCAAGAUGGAGUUUCGGCUGAAACCACGAUCAGACGACCAAACUGACCGUACAACAACUCGGUUUUCCCGACCACCCGACAUUUUAAGGACAAUAGUCGAGCCAGACUUAAGUUGGAUCGUGAAGAACCCAAAGACAGACAUGCAUUCUCACCCGGCGAACCAUCCGGACAGUCCCGCAUGCGCCCUUCUCCUUACCGCAUUGGACACAACCAGUUCGGAUGAACCUAGACAGUAGCUGAACGGUCAUCUUGACUGGUCUUCAUCAGAUUACGUACCUUUGACUCAUAUAUCAUUUUUUAGUCAAUGUUUUCAUUUUCUAUCUCUUGUUUUCUCUACAAUUAAUUUAUUAGUCUUUGACCACAAGUACUAUAAAUAUGCAAUCCCAUUCUAUGAAUAAAUCAGUCUAAGUUUGAGUUUAUUUUUAUUUUCUUCUUUUCUCUGAGUGAGAGAGAGAGAGAGAGUUCAUUGGUGUGAACCGGCUUGUUGAUUUGGUGGUCAACCAAUUCAUCUUUGUGUGUUGUUUUGUGGUUAGCCAACUCACUACAUUCUUUCUUAGGUGUUUAGCCUUAGAUCGUGGGUAUAUCAAGAGCCAUUCCACAUCUCUUGACAAUCCUUUCAAUCCUUCUCAGUUCUAGAAGUGCCAUUAGCCUUCUCGGAUCAUAUCCAACACCCAACUAAAAUGAUCCUCCAAUUCAGGGCGUAUCAACAUGGAGAUCUCAUGUUCCCGUAUCACUUCAUCAUAUGCGGUCAAGUUCUAUAUGGUAUAUGUUUAAAAACCGAAAGAGAAAGUAACUUGCAAGGCAUUGAAGUCGCGAGAGGAUGCCCAAAGGUGAGUCAUCUGCUGUUUACAGAUGACAUCAUGUUCUUCUGUCAAACAUCCCCAACUAGCUGCAAUAAACUGAAGGAUAUCUUAUGGGAAUACGAACAAGCUUCGGAUCAAAAGAUCAAUACUGACAAAUCUUCCAUCUUCUUCUCAUCUAAGACCCCAACAGAAACAAGAGAAGUGGUCAAGAACACGCUGGGUAUUACAAAAGAAGGAGGACCAGACAAAUAUUUAGAAUUACCUGAGCAUUUUGGCCGAAGGAAGAAGUAUCUUUUUACGGCAAUUGUGGAUAGAAUUAAACAACGAGCCUCUAGUUGGUCUACAAGAUUUCUCUCCAAAGCAGGCAAGCUCACGAUGUUGAAGUCUGUCUUAACUGCAAUCCCAUCAUUCUCCAUGUCUUGUUUUGAAUUGCAUGCAAGUUUAUGAAAGCGCAUUCAAUCAGUUUUAACAAGAUUCUGGUGGGAUAAUCCGGAUGGGAAAAGGAAAAUGUCAUGGGGUGCAUGGGAUAAGCUAACUAAACCUAAAAAGUUGGGGGGGGCUCGGAUCAGAGAUAUUCAAAUUUUCAAUCAAGACCCUCUAUCUAAACAGGCGUGGCAAAUCCUAACAAAACCAGAUAGUUUGUUGGCUCCAAUUCUCCUAGGAAAAUACUGCCACACUAAACCAUUUUUUUAAGCUCAAGUACCAACGGUAUGAUCGCAUGGAUGGCGAAGUAUUCUAUAUGGAAGAGAUCUACUAAAAGGAAACCUAAGAAGGGCCAUAAGAAUUGGACAUACUACUAAAGUUUGUAAAGAUUCUCGGAUAUUGUUGAAUGAGAACCUGAAACCAUUUGGUCUUAUUUCAGAAGCUGCUAUGGAUCUUACAGUGUCUGAUCUACUAACUUCGGAUAUGCAAUGGAAUAAAAACAAGAUUGAGGCUCUUUUACCUCAAUUGGCAACGGAAAUCCAACUGCUACAGCCGAGUCUAUCAAAAGUGGAGGACAUCUUUGUUUGGCAGCCACUACUAUCGGGAGAAUACACAACUCGAUCUGGUUACUGCUCAGCAUCGAUGAAGCAGUCUUUUGCAAUAACUCCGUCUGACCAAGGAGCAUUCAACUGGAUAAAAGAUGUUUGGCCAGAGGUUUGUUCACCAAAAAUGAAGAUUUUCAUUUCGUCUAUCAUACAGAAGGCACUGCCUUUGGGAGAAAACCUACCACAGAGAGGUAUGAUUCCAGGAACACUUUGUAAACGAGGUAAUGAAGUGGAAACUGUAAUUCAUACCUUUUUCAGUGCUCCGAUGUAAUUCAUACUUUGUAAACGAUAAUUCAAAAUUGCAAUUCAUACUUUGUAAACAAUGUAAUGAAGUGGAAACAAUGUGUGGGUAGAAUGAUUAAAAUAUUUUUUAAUAUGUUGUAUCAAUAACUUUAAUGAAGUCAAGUACUUUUGGCAAAACAUGAACAUAUUUACCAUUCUUUUGAUUAACAUCUCUUAAAGUUUACAAAAUAAUUCACAACUAAAAUAUUACAUAUACAAAUCAUAAAAAGAUCAUAAACAAAAUUAUUACACAGCUAGAUAUUAUUCCUCAACAUAGAUAAGUUUGGACUUCACUUCACAUCAUCUCUUUGUACCACUUUGGACAGAAGACUUUGGAAGAAUUUCUGAAGACUUCGUGGGAAGUCUUCUGGCAUAAAAUACAUAAGAUUUCCCAAGAAGUCUUCCGAGAAUCUUUCGAGAGUUUUCCGAGAGUCUUCCGAGAAUUAUCCCAGAAGUCUUCCAAAAUCUGUCUCAGAUAUGAAAAACUGCAUAUUCAAAAGCUUUCAAAUGAGUUCAAAAUAGAGAAGACUUCAAAAAUAAAUUUUUAGAUCAUAAACAAAACAGUCACACUAGGUUGAAUCUAAAUUUUUUUAGAAUCUAAUAUAUAAAACACACAAAAUACAUAUCCAAAAUUUAUACCACUUUAGGCAAAAGACUUCGGAAGACUUCCUGAAGACUUCAUGGGAAGUCUUCUAGCAUAAAAUGCAUUAGAAGACUUUCUAAGAAGGCUUCGGAGAAGUUUUCCGAGAGUCUUCUGAGAGUCUUCCGAGAAGUCUUCUGAGAAGUCUUUCAAACUCUCUCAGAUCUGGAAAAACCUGCAAAUUCAAAAACAUUCAAAUAACUCAAAACAGAGAAAACUUCAAAAAUGAAAAUUUUAUGCUUACAAAAUAAACAAAACAGUCACACUAUGUUGAAUUUAUAGUUUUUUAGAAUCUAACAUAUAAACACACACAUAAAUUCAUAUCCAAAAUUUAGAGAUCUACCUUUGAAAGAGUGAGAGAUGAGAAUCAUGUAAUGAAAAAUAUGCAAAAAGAAGAUAAAUUAGUGAGAAGACAUAAGAAAAAGUGGGAAAUGGAUAUAAAGUUGAGAUUAGAGAGAUGUUGGAGAGUUUUAGAGUGAGAAACAUUACAUUUUUGUUGCAGUCAUUUGAGAGGAAGAAAGAGAAUGUGUAAAUUUUCUUUAUAUAUGGAGACAAAAAAUUCUAAUUAGGUUAAAUAUUUUCGACCCAUAAGACUUCUGGAAGACUUAUGGAAAACUCAUGGAAGAUUUAUGUAAGACUCAUUGAAGACUUAUGGAAGACUUUGAUUAGACGGAAAAUCUAAAUUAUUCCAAAAUUUAGGCGGGAACCCUAAAUUUUACUUAAAUUUAGACGGGAUGUUGCGGAAGACUUAUUUUUAAGUUUUUUGUGAGUCUUCUUAAACUUAAAAAAAAAUUAGAAAGUGUUUAAAUCAAGUUAUUAUAUUGUUAAACAUAUGUGGGUCAAUUUGAAAAAGAAAAAAAUGAAGGUAAAACUGAAUACAUGUUUUUUGUUUGUUCACAAGGGGGCUGUUGUAAUUUCACUAGGCUUUUGGGUUACUUUUGCAUUUGAUUGAAUUUGGAGUACACUUUUGUAUUCAAAAAAAAGUUAGUCACUUUUGAAAAAUCCCCCUUGUUAAAAACCAGUGUUUUGAAACCCGACCCGGACCCGCGGUUGAACCGGUAAACCCGAUGACCCAGAAAAAAUCCAGUUUGGGUUUUGUGAAAAACCUAAUAUUUAAAAACCCGAAAAAAUCUGCAAAAACCAAGUAAAACUCGAAACCCGAUACCGGUUGAACCACCGGUUAAACUAAUAAAUAACUUUUACUUUUUUUUUAGUUUUUAAUUAUGUUUUUAGAUUAUGUUUUAUAUUCUAAAUUUUCAAUUAAGAAAUUAGGUGCCGACAAAAAAAAGAAGUUAGGUUUUCGCUUUUCAAUUUUAUAUUUGUGAUUUUUAGAUUUUUAUGAAGAUUUCACUAUACCACUUGAAGAAAAUGAACUAAACGAUGGUAGAGAGAAGAAAAAUUAGUUGAUGUGAUUUGGUGUUAGUUUAUUUCCAUUACUGACAAUUUAUUAAAAUGAUUUUUUACUUUUGGUUUAUUUUGUAUUUGAAGUUUAAUUUAUUAUUCACAUUAGACAUUUAAAUAUUUAUAAAUUUUAUGUGUUGAUUUUUUUAGAUGUCACAACUCUUACCUUGUUAGAGAAAUUUUCAAUAGUCUAAACUAUUUUUUGAUAUUUUGUAUGUCAAAUGAAAAUAAAUAUAAAAACUAAAGUUAUGUAUUUUUUUAAAUGUUGUUAAACAUAAAAUAUAUAUGCAUAUCCAAACUGUUAUUUUAUGUUUUAAAAAACAUUUAAAAAUAUUAAAAUUUAGUUUUUAUAUUUUUAUUUACAUAGUUGAUAUAUUAUUAUAUAAUAACUUUAUUUAUUUAUUAACCCGCGGUUCACCCGCGGUCGACCCAGUGACCCAGCAACCCGGUAAGUCCUCCGGUUCAGUGUCCGGGUCGGGUUUAAAAACAUUGUUAAAAACCCAAUAUUUAGAAACCCGCAAAAACCCAUGGAAACCAGUAAAACCCGGAACCCGAUACCGGUUGAACCAAUUAAGUUUUACUUUUUUUUUAGUUUUUAACUAUGUUUUAUGUUCUAAGUUUCCAAUUAAGAAGUUAGGUGCUGAAAAAAAAGUUAGGUUUUCCCUUUUCAGUUUUAUAUUUGUAAUUUUUAGAUUUUGAUGAAAAAAUUGAAAUGAACGAUGAUAGAGAGAAUCAAAAUUAGUUGAUGUAAUUUGGUGUUAAUUUAUUUAUGUUACUCACAAUUUACUAUAAUGAUCUUUUACUUUUGGUUUAUUUUGGAUUUGUAGUUUAAUUUAUUAUUUACAUUAGACAUUUAAAUAUUUAUGAAUUUUUUGUCUUGAUUUUUUUAGAUCUCAUAAUUCUUAUCUUGUCACAGAAAAUUUUAAAUAGUCUAAACUAUUUUUUGAUAUAUUGUAUGUCAAAUAAAAAUAAAAACAUAAAAACUAAAAUUAAGUAUUUUCUAAAUGUUCUUAAACAUAAAAUAUAUACAUAUCCAAGCUAUUAUUUUAUGUUUUAAAGAACAUUUAGAAAAUAUUAAACUUUAGUUUUAUAUUUUUAUUUUUAUUUACAUAGUUAAUAUAUUAUUAUAUAAUAAAAUUAAUUUAUUUAUUAACCCGCGAUUGACCUAGUAACCCAACGACCCGGUAAAUUAUCCGGUUCAAUGUUCGGGUCGGGUUUAAAAACAUUGAUUAGUACAUAUCUAUAAGUUUGCCAAUGGUUAGAAUUUUCAACUAAAUGUCUCUUUCAUCGAACGAAAAAUAGGUGUUUAGAAGUUAUUUCUUUUCUAUUUGAUAACUAGCUGUGAUUAUCAUAAAGUCAUGACUCAGGAUGAGUAUUUAUUACUUUAAUCGCCUUUCGUGUUGUAUCUGCUAUCUUAUUCAUAUUUUCCUGCAACGUAUUUACUAGUUUUGAAUCAAUGUUUCUAAAACUGGGAGAUUUCAAAAAUAAAGAUGAUGUUUUCAACUUCGAGUGAGAGUAAUUCCACUUUCCCCUUCAAUUUUUUUUUCCGAGUUUUGGGGAUCAUGUACGUGUUGCUAUCCUGCAAAAAUGUCGAAGAUUAAAGAUAUACUAGAUUUUGACUCAUCCAAGCGUGAUAUUUAUUUUUUAAAACAAUUAAUUUAUAAGUAUUUUUUUCUGGUGAUUAUAAAUUACGUGUUUAUAGUUUGUAACUUAAUACAUUUAUUUUUGUGUCGACCUGGUUAGGAUAUACGGUAUAAUCGCUAAAUCCGAUGAUCUGUAUAUAGAUCACCACUAUUUAAAACCAGAUAAAAUUUGGUAAAAAUCCAAUGGUAUAUUAAAAACAUUAUAUUUAAUAAAUAAUUUAAUUUGUAAUUUUCAUUUUUUAUAUUUUUACUAUACCAUAAAAAUACCAAAUUUUUUGAUAGGUUUUCGUUAAUGAGGAUUUAUUAUAAAUAUAUCUUUUUAAUUUUAUUGGAAAAGAUGGCACCAAUAAAUGAUAGAAUUUUCGUUUAUUGGGAUAAAUCAGUAUUGUUUUGGUCACAAAAUUCAUGAGACACCGUUAGAGAAAAUAAUAUGUUAGUAUAUUAUAUUUAUAAAAACUAGUAUAAAAGAGAUAUAUAUGGCCCUGUUCGUUUGCUCACCCAGGUGAUCCAUCUGGGUGAAGAUGCAAAUUGAUGUUCGUUUAGUGCAUUAUAAUUCUACAUCCAGAUGGAUCACCCAGCUGAAUUUUUAAAAACUCAUCUCAAAUUCUCACCCAAAUGAAGGUGAGUCUUGAUGGUGCAUCUGGAUGCAGAUGCAUUUAGUUUAGUCCAAAAUGACAAAUGACAAAAAUGACCUUUUAAAAUCAAAAUAUUAUUUUCAAACCGUAAAUUCAAUUUUUUUGCAUAUACUUUUUUCCACUAUAACCAAAAAAUACAUUUUCUCGCAAAAACGGAAAAACACACUUUUCCGCCAAAACCGCAAGAUGCAUUUUUCCGCAAAAAAUAUAAAACACACAUGUUUCAUUAAAACACAUUUUUUCGGCUAAACCAGUAAAACCACAUUUUUCGACCAAAACCCAAAAAACGCAUAUUCCUACCAAAACCGGAAACAACGCAUUUUCUCGCCAAAACAAAAAAAAAACGCAUUUUUUCGCCAAAACCGAAAAACACAAUUUUCUCGCCAAAACCGAAAAAUGGAAUUUUCCUGCCAAAACUGAAAAACGGUAUUUUCCCACCAAAACCAGAAAACAGAAUUUUCCCACCAAAACCGGAAAAACGCAUUUUUCCACCAAAAUUGAAAAACACAAUUUUCCCGCCAAACAAAUAUAUUUUCCCGCCAAAACCGCAAAAAUAACUUUUCCCGCCAAAAUCGUGAAAAAAAAACUUUUCCCGUCAAAAACACUUUUUGCGCCAAAACUUCAAAACACACUUUUUCCGUCCAAACCGCAAAAACGUAUUUUUCUGCCAAACCUAUAAAACAUAUUUUUCCGCCAAAACCAUAAAAAUGCACUUUUUCGCGAAAACACACAUAUUUCCUCAAAAACCGCAAAAAUAUUUUCGGCCAAAACCGUAAAAAUGCUAUUUUUCCGUUGAAACGUAAAAAGUUAUAUUUUAGUCAUUUUAUUAACAAGUCCACCUGGAUGCAGAUGGAAGUUAAAAAAAUGAAAAACAAACGAAUAUAGUUGCAUUUAGAUGAUUCAUCUGGAUGCAUGAACGAAAUGAUGAAACGAACAACACCCAGAUGGAGCAUCUGGAUGAUACAUCUAGAUGGACCAUCUGGAUGCAUUUUCCAGAUGUACAAACGAACAGGGCCUAUGUAUAAGAAUUUGGUCUAAGAAAAAACAUCGUAUAGAUGACAAAAGUAGUAUAUCCCUUAUAUUAAUUGAGAAACAUUAAAACCUUUAAGUGUAGACACGUGUCAUCACCAGAACGAAAUUCAGAAUCUUUAGAAAAUAUGUUGGUCCAAUUAAGUAUAUAUUAUACUUUUCAUUAAACUAAUCAUAAAAUUAAUUAAAAUGUACACUCACUAUUUUAUUUUCUUUUCUUAAAUAAAAGAUACGGAAUUACCAAAUAUGACUAAUAUAUAUAUGAUAAUUAAUGAUUCUAAUAAUAAAGAUUUGAUAACCAUUUAUAUUUCAUCUAUCGUUUUUGUUUAAUUUUAUAUUAUUAAAAUAAAUUAAACAAUAAAAUUAGUUAUAAAAUUAAAAUAUAGAUUUUUCGUAUAUGUUAUAUUUUGAACUUAAAAAAACGACAAAAUUACUAAAACUGUUAAAAUUAUUAUGUUAAAAAUUAAUGAUCAAUGAUUUAACAUCCUCUAUAUAUUAAUAGAGAAACAUUUAAAAACUUUAGAACAUGUAGUUUGUAUUAAAUAAAAAAUAUCAUGCUGAGUUGUCACGUAAUUUGAAUGUUAAUUUUUUUAUGUGGUGGCUUAAAAAUCAAUUGAGAAUUUUGUCAAUCCAAAAUUAAAUUGAUAGAGAAUGUUAUAUUAUAUAGUAUUCUAUUAUAGACCAUUCAUUUAUCAAAUUGAAAUUUAUUAUAUAUUAUUUCCUUAAAUAAAACCUACGGAAUUACCUAAUGUAAUUAUGAAAUAUAUAGUAAUUGAUGAUUUUAAAUAAUGAAGAUUUGCUAAUAUUUUGUAUACUUUCUAUCAUAUUUAUUUAAUUCUUUAUUAUUAAAAUAAAUUACAUAAUUACUUUAAUCAUAUAUUAAAAUUUUAGAUUUUUUUGUAUAUGUUAUAUUUAGAUUUUUUUUUUCAAAACGAAUAUAAAUUACUAAAAUUGCUAAAAGUCUCACAUAAACUUUUGUGAUCAAUGUUUAAAUAUUUUUCUAUAAUAAGAUACAACGAUAAUAAAAUCAUCGAAAUAAAUAAUUUUAUUUUAAUAGGUGUUUAUGUAUAUAUAUACUUCAUAUCAAUUAAUUUUAAUUAUAUAUCAUAUACGAUAGAUAAGAUUGAUUAUUUUGAUUUAUUUAUCAUAAAAUGAUUGCGAAUAAACAAGAGCAGUCAUUUGAUUUAUAUGUGCAAGCCAAUUUAUUACAUAAUAGUAACUGAUUUUUUGGUUAUUUAAUAUAUAAAUAUUAUGUAUUCUGCACAAGACGCAUAUCUUAACCUAAGUAUGUAUCUCUUUAAUAAUUUUAAAUCUUAAACAUUUUAUAAAUCUCAGGCCAAAAUAAAAGAAAGAAAUGAGAAUAAACUCAAAAAUCAAUAUUUAUAUCGAGCAAUAACCAAAAUGAUAAAAAAAAGAAAACAAUAUCAAAGAUAAAUAUGAUUGGCACGUGAACGUAAACUUCUCAUAACCAUAAUUAACUUUUAAAUUGCUAAAUCAUGAUAUAAAACCUAGCUGACAUAGUUUCAUUGUAACCAAAUAGUAGGCAUGAGAUUCUUCGACCUAAACGUUAGAUUUUUAAACGAUAAAUAAUUUUUGACCUAAUAUAUUUUUUUAAAUGGGAUCAGUUCAUUAGUAAACAAAUGAUGUAAUUAACAAAUUAAAAAAAAACAUGUUUAAGGGCCAAAAAUUUUAAUUCGAUCAAUAAUAUAAAUUUUAUUUUCUAUACGAUAUUUCUUAAAUAAUUUUCAUAUAAAUUUAUACCAUGUGCAAAGCGCAUGUCUUAUCCUAGCGUAUAGUUAAAAAGCAUUAAAUAUUGUUAAUAUAGUUAGAAAAAUACCAGGAAAUAUUAGGUAGGAUCAAUAAACUAAUUGGUUAAUAAAUAGGUUCAAUAACCUUUGUACGUAGGUUUAAGGAUGAUUCUCUUUUGACAGUAUAAAACUUCUUGUCUGUAAAACUUCUCAGGACAACCAAAUGUUAUGAUCCAAUAUCAGAAUUAUUGUUAUACCUCCAAACAAUCCAUUUUUUUUGGUGCACAAAUCUUAUAAUAUACCUAAAGUUUUAACCAAAUAGUAGAAGUUCCCUUAGUCGAGUGGUUUGACUAAGAGUUCAUUAUUGCUUCUACACUAGGAGAUCGAGGGUUCAAACCCCAUAAAACGCAAAUUAUGCAGAUUAUAGAGAAAAAUUGUUACAAGAAGUUUUCAGUAUGGUGCAAGGACGUAUCAUCGAAUAUGGGAUCUCACAGGGCGGCUGAAGCGAUGCAGUCAGACGUGCAUUCUCAUAUAAUGGUAGAAUUGUCGGCUGUAGAAUCGUCUAUGUAAUAUUUCUCAUCGUUGUAAUAGUAUAAUUAAUCAGACGUUAAAACAAAUUAACCAAAUAACAUAAACGAGGAUGACGACAGUUAACAGUUAGUGGGCCAUUUUAUCACUGAAACCCAUAUACUCGUUUGAACAUAAUCCCCCUAUAUAUUAAAAGAGAAGUCACUUUAGUGAUUUCUGGUGACGUGUCGCUCAUAUGUGAAGUUUCAAUUUAAUUGUUAUAAUUUGAUUGGUCGAUUGUUCUUAAUUUUUAUUUACUUAAUUUAGAUCUAAAAAUUUAAGGUAAGUCUAAAAUCAUUUAACACCACUUGCCAUAUAAUCUAAACAAUAUUACAAAUAACAAUUUAUGGAAACUAAUUCUCGAAAUUAUAGAAAGAUUAAUAAUGUUUCAUUUAUCACUUUCAAUAUUUAUAAACUAUAAAAUAUAAUGAACGAAAUUUUAUAUAAGAUAAUUAUAAUAGUUUUAUACUCUACUUGAUGAAUUGUAUUCGAAUAUAAUUAUAUAAUAACUAUUUUAAAUAUAACAAAAUCCAAACAUGUUUAUUAAUAUUAUUUUGACUUCCCCUGUCAAGCAAAUGAAUGUCAAAACACAGUUUCAAACGAGAUAAUCUAAGCAGAAUAAUAAGUGUAUAAAUCUCAGGAACAAUGCUUAAAAGUUUCAUACCUUCAAUGUGACCGAAGGUUGUGUUGAUAGCUGCAAGCCAUUUCUCCCUUUCACCAUUUAUCUUAUCAAGAAGCAUUCUUAGAUUCUGCUCCUCCGUAAAUUUGGCUUCAUGAGCUCUGCCUUCAGCGUCAGCCAUGGCUUUGACAUGAAUUGUUUCUCGCUCAAGUUCAGCUCUCUCUUUCUCAGUCUGGCGCCGCUGUGCUUGAAUUUGUUCUUCCGUGGCGAUCCUUGCUUGCUCUUUCCGGAUAGAAGACUCCUCUUGCAUCUUAACCAACUCCACAUUAUGCCCUCUGAGCUUCAUGAUCCGUCUAAUUUCCAAGUCAAAGACUUGCUAGUAAAAAUACAAUCUUUAAACUCUUAAACAGAGGUUCAUUGUUUUCAUUCUUACCUGCAGUCGCUUUCUCGCAAACUCAUCUUCAUACCGAAGGUUUUGAGCUUUUGCUAGACCCACUACAAGAAAAUCGAAUAUGAAUAGCGUCAGAAAAACGCUAUGUUACAAUACAAUAGCAUUAUUAGGUACGCUGUAUCAUCGGUUGCGAUAAUAGGUCGAGCACAUUAGAUAGCUGUUUCUUGCUACUUUUUAUGAUUAAUAUAGCAUUUUCUGUAGAGCAAUUUUUCUAAAUAUAUCAUUUUCAAUUUUUGGUCACAAAAAUAUAUCACAAGGAGGAAAAUAACCAAAAUGUUUUAUUUAAUAGGUAAAAGGACUCUAACACCCUAGAUAUAUAUAAAAUAAAAUAAAAAUAAAUUAAAAAAAAAUUUGUUAUAGUUUUAGAUUAUAUGUUUUCAAAUUCGAACUUUUUUAUAAAAUUAUUUUUUCUUAAUUUUUUUUUGAAAUUUUAUUUUUGUAACUCAAAAAUAAUUUUUGAAACUAUUUUUAAAUUUUUUAUUUUUAAUAUUUAUUUUUUAUUUUAUAAAAUUUUAAAUCUCAAUCUCAAAUCUCCACCCUUAACUUAAAACCCUAAGGUUUGAAUUACUUAACUUUAGGGAUAUAAGUGUAUAUUUAAUUAUUUAAUGAAACAUUUUGUUCAUUUCAAUCUUUAGAGUCUAUAUUUGUCAUUUAUGAUAGAAACUUUUUUAGUGAUAUCAUACGGUAAUUCUCUUAUUUGUAUGCCAUUAAAUAUUAUUUAAUAUCAUUUUUUGUUAUUAUUUAUUUUAAAAUUAUUAAUUUUAUACUAUUUACUUUUUGUUAAUUAUUAUUAAAAAAACAUAAAUUAAAAAUUUAUUUAUAACUAAAUCGGUUUAUAAAUUGGUAUUUCUUUACGAAUUGAAAUUUGGAUACAUGGUUUACAAUUAAAAAUUGGUUACAAUUACAAAUUGGUUUAUUAACUAAACCAAUUGAUUAAACCUAAUUCAGCUGUCAAACCAAGCUCUUCUUAAGCUACGCCGUCAACCAUCCCCGCUUCAGUACCAUCUUCGACACUGCUGCUCUUCUUCGCCGACGCCGCUGCUCUGUCUACUCCGACGUCUGAUAAGUCUCGAGGACGACGAGCUCGGCUCCGACCGCGCUGCUCUGUCUUCUCCGAUGCCGCUGCUCUGUCUUCUCUAACGUCUGACGUGAGUCUCGAGAACGACGAGCUCGGCUCCGACCCCGCUGCUCUGUCUUCUCCUGCUGCUCUGUCUUCUCCGACCGUCUGACGUGAGUCUCGAGGAUGACAAGCUCGGAGAGUUUAUGGAGAUCCUGAGGGAGAGUGUUGCGGAUCCCUUUCUGUCUGAGCUGGAUCCUCGUGACGCAGCUGCUCCUGUCGCAUUGGAGGGUGUCUCAUUCGCAAGGGUUGGGGUUCGACCAGCCCAUGUCUGAGCAAAAUUGAAUAAGGAGAGGAGGAGACAGAGGAGGAGGAGAAGAGAUCUGUAACCUUCGUAAUUUUUUUUCUCAUUACGGUUGAGUGAAACUGACGUGGACUUACAAAAUAAAUAGAUUGGUUCCUCAACUUUUUUCAUUUGAUGACAUGUUAAUCCUACAGCUAUUUUGAAAGCUGAGGUGUCAUGCUUUGGAGAGAAACAAGCCUAAUUAUUGUGUUGAUUUGUCAAAAAAAAAUGGUAAAUAAAAUUCAACACUUUUGGAAGAUGUGUUUGAUUUCUAUUAGCCAAUUAAAAUCAUUAUUAAGCAGAGCAGGAGGCUUUUUACUCGAGUCUGCUCUAUCUGUCUGCUCUAAACGCGCCGUCUCUGUGAGAUAACAAGUUAAGUCCCACAGCGGAUAUUAGACAAAAGAAAGUCUAAUAUAUAAAGAGAUGUCCAACUCUAAUGUCUAAUGUCUUUUGGGAAGGAAAACAAAAGUAAAUCCAUGCGGGCUAGCCAAUUAGAUCCAAAGUGGACAAUAUCGUACUAAUCGGACAAUAUAGAGUUGGACAUGGGAUUUCACAAUUCCAACAAUUGGUAUCAGAGCGGUUUGACGAAAAUCUGUAAGAAGACCAAAAUACCCUUCGAAUAGGAACGGGACCCAUCGAGUUAGGAUUGGAAGGUGUGUGUGGCAGAGAUCAAGUCAAAAGAUCCUGAAAGUCAGUUGUUGGAGACGAGAUGAAUGUGAUCCUUAGUUUGAAGGGGAGAAUGUGAUAUAACAAAAUAAGUCUCACAUUGGAGAAUUAGAAAAAGGAGAGUCUAAUAUAUAAAGAGAUGUCCAACUCUAAAUAGUACGAGACCUUUUGGGAAGGAAACCAAAAGUAAAUCUAUGCAGACUUGUUUCUUAGGCCCAAAGUGGACAAUAUUGUACUAAUCGGAGAAUAUAGAGUUGGACAUAGUAUUUCACAAUCCCAACAAAUUUUUCUUUUCCACAAAUUUAAGGGCCUAUUUAUAUGUAAACUUUUUCCAAAAUUUUAAAGCUUUUGGUUAUAUUGAUUUGCUCACAAAAUUAUUCAUCACAAUAUGAAACUUUACAAAAAUACAGUUUGUCAUGUCCAUAGUUUUGAGUCUCCAUAAAUAUAUUUUUUGGAAAGCCAUGCAGAUUUUGUAAGAUGCUUUCCAAUUUAAAUUGAAUAAAUACUGUUUGGCUAUUAAGUUUUAUUUAUAUUAAUGAACAGUUUAAUUGUACUUGGCGUAGUGGCCGCACACCUAGUUCGCUGGUUCGACAUUCGUUUGAUGCAAACUUUUUUUUUAUUUUUCGAAAUGGAUCAUAGGUUAGAAACACACUGGUUUUUUUGAAAGCCAUCCAGAUUUUGUAAGAUGCUUUCCAAUUGAUUAAAAACUGUUUAGAUAUUACGUUUUAUAUGCACAACUAUCUCUUUCUGUCGCUGAUGCUCAAUGUUGCAUGGGGGAAGCAAAAUCCAUAUGGUAUUCGUGAAAAAAUUACAAAGAAACACAAGCAUAAAGAACUCAUAAGAAUCAAACAUUGGAAGUUUAUUGAAACGCCCGCUCCUUCCCCAUUUCCAACCGGGGUUUCUGGGCGCGGAGUUGUGUUCCGUUUCUGGUCCCAUGAGUUUCAAGUGCGUUUCCUUUCUUACCAUCGACUCUUCCACUUAUAGUCCUGCAAAAGGGAGAGGGAAAAAGAGGGGUGAGUAUGAAUACUCAGUGAAGCGAUUCUAGACCAGUCUCUCCCAUUAGCCUCUAUACUGCUCAAUGCAAAACGAGAACCGACUAGUCACUACACCCAAUUCGUAACUAGCUAUUAAAGUUUCAUUUCACGAAAUCAAGCAAUGUAAUGAACUCAGUCAUCACUCAAUUCACAUAAAUCGGUUUAUUAUUUAAGACUCCAAUCCUUCUAGAACUCUAGGACCUACACAGCUCAAGCGGACCAACCCUCCCUUUUUCUUGCUGUGUUCCUGUGGGGCCGCCUGUCCUGGUACACUCGGCAUCCGGUUCCCUUGGAUGUAGUACAUACCCUUGCAGUGUAUUACGACCCCUUCCCGCCAAGACUCGGCUUGACUCAAUCUUACCGGCACCUCUAAUCUUACCCUGCCGUUUUUGAACGCUACGGCCGCCGCGUUUUCCCCUACUCCCCACCAGUCCCUCGGUGGUUCGUAUUUCAUUCAAUUACUUUCUCUUUACUCUCCACCAGUCUCUCGGUGGUUCGUAUUUCAUUCAAUUAACUUUCCUUUUUACUUUAUUUCCUUUUUUCUUAUCAUUUUCUUUUUCUUUAUCAUUUUCUUUUUUCUUUAACCUCUAAAUACUUUCUUACUUUCCUUUUUAGACGCCACCCGUUCUCGGUGUCACACUCAAUCCAUUUAACAAUCAUUCACGCAUAUCCUAUCAUUCAUCUAACCAGUCCGGUUAACUAUUCGCUUAUGAUCCUACGUUCAAUUCUUUCUAACCAUCCUAGCUCUCAAUCACAAACAACAGAUCUUCAACCAAUCAAUCAAUCAGUCAAUCAAUCAAUCAUCAUCACAACAAUUUAUUUAAAGUCCUAAAUCAGUAUGAGAGUUCUGAUGCAAUAUGAUCUAACAACCUAACAACAAACAGGAUCUACUCAAUCCUAAAUCCACAUUCAACAAUAUAGAAGAACAUGAAAGAGAUCUGGGUAGAACACCUCACGUUAGCCUAGAUCCGGAUCUGGAUCUGAAAAUAGGGGUAAGAGAAACGGGAUCUGAAAUCUACGACACCACGCGGCCACCACCACCACUCGCGGCUGCUUACAGCAAAGAGAGAGAGAGUCAGCCGGGAGAGAGAGAUCGUGAGGAGAGAGAGAGGAGAGAGAUGCGGCGAAGAGGGAGAAAAGAAAGAGAGGCAGCGCAGGGAGAGAGAAAGAUCAUCGACGGCUAGGGCUUCCGAUCUCCGAGAUUUCUCUGCAAAGCUUCGUUUCAAAGUUUCUGAUGGGAAACUAAGGGGUGGAGGCUGUGUAUUUAUAGAAGAAGGCAAAGAAACCCUAGGGUUUUAAUCUUAAUGGGCUGCAGAGAGGGCCUUUACUUUUAAACCACAAAAACAUUUUCCGCUAGAGUAGAACAAAAACCAUUCAAUCUUUUAGAGAUCCGAUGGAACAAUGUGCGCAACUGCUCUCUUGGUGCCUCUUGGUGCACAGCUGGUCUCUUGUUCACCUACAUGUUCAGUCUUAGUCUCCCUCUCAUUGCCCUAAUUUUUCGAUGUUUUAGCACCAAAAAAAAAUGUCAAUAAGAAACGCAGAUUCGACCAAAAAAGAAGUCUAGCUUCAAAUUUCAGCAAAAUUAUAAAAGUUUUGAGAUAUAUUAAGUAAAACUUGCGUUUGGUUCUACGGCAGAAGUAGAAGAGCUAUGUUUGUCUAGAGGAUUAUGGUAGGACACCUGCGUGACAACAACAAAAAAGAAGCACAUCCAGUGCAAAUCAGAGGAGAUAAGACAAGCAAAACUUAAAGGACGUGGGAGGAUAGUAGGAGAAAUGUAUCGAUACAAAUAUUAAGAAGCAGAGAGAUGCUUACUUCCUCUAAAUGUUCAUCACUACUGAAAUGAGUUGUGAGAUCUUCAAGGCUAAAGCCAGAAAAUUCGCACAUUUCGCAAGAAACGUAACCCAUUUCCCUUCACUUGUACUCAAGAGCCUCGUCUUUAUCAUCUGCAGAACCUGAAUUAGUUGUUGGGGAAAAAAAAAAACUGAUUCAAAAACAGAGUUGCUACAAGAGAAAAAGACUAGAUAUCACCAAAUCAAGUUUUUGUUCCCAAAAUAGCACUCAAGGCUCAAAGUCACAAAAAUAGGUUUUAUUAAAGAGAUAAAUAUACACUUAUACCCCUUGGGUUAAUUAAUCCAAACCUUAGGGUUCAGAGUUAAGGGGUGGAGUUUUGAAAUUAGGGCUUGAAAUUUUAUAAAAAAUAAAUACUAAAAUAAAAAAUAAAAAUUUUAAAAACAGUUUCAAAAAGUAUUUUUAAAUUAUAAAAAGAAAAUUUGAAAAAAAAUAAAAAAAAAAUUGAAAAAAAAUGUUUCAAAAAAAAUUAUAAAAAUUUCGAAUCUGAAAACAUAUAAUCUGAAACUAUAUAAAUUUUUUUUUUAUUUUUUUUAUUUUUAUUUUUUUUAUUUUUAUUUAUUUUUGUUUGUUUAUUUAAUUUUAAACCAAUGGUAUUAGGAAUAUUUUACUCUUUAAUGAAUGUCAUUUUUGUGACUUUCUCCUUCUAGUGCUAUUUUUACACUUGUACUCAAGAGCCUCGUCUUUAUCAUCUGCAGAACCUGAAUUAGUUGGGGAGAAAAAAAAACUGAUUCAAAAACAGAGUUGCUACAAUCAGAGAGUGAGAGAGAGAGAGAGAGAGGAAAACCACCUAGGAAGCUUUCCCAGAUCCAAUCUCUAGAAACGACUGAAAGGAAGGUUUUCCAGAGAUCUGCUGAAACGGGUUUUCGUCCAGGAUGUGCCACGAGAAUGGUGAAUCCCUCAUCGCAUAUGCGGAAAAGAGGUUCAGAUAACAUUUCCAGUGUAGUAUCACCACAGAUGAGCAUUAAAGUAGCCGGAGGUUUCACACUCAUUCUCCAGCCAAACAACUGAGACAGACAAUCUGUUUUGAGCAAAAAAGAAAUCAACGUUGAGAACCGUUACUUGUAAAAAGAAAAAAACCAAAGGGAUAAAAAGACAUACAGCCGAAGAUGUUUGAAAUAUGGAUUCCAGAGGAAAAGAGCACUUCCAGGAAGGAGGCAGAGCGUGGGUUGAGAUGUAGGUUGGACAUGGCAGUGAUGGUGACCGGACCAAGGUAGCCUGAAUUUUUCAAUGCCGAUCUUAUACUCCGACCAGCCAGCGAUGGACUAAAAGAAUCGGGAAGCGGACAGCUGUCCAUGUCCCAAAGCACAGUCGUUGUCGCCAUAUGCACACUUGGCCGAAAGCAAAAAUGAGGAGCGGGGGCAAAGGAUCUGUUGAGCCUCAUCGCAUAUGCGGAAAAGAGGUUCAGAUAACAUUUCCAGUGUGUAUCACCACAGAUGAGCAUUAAAGUAGCCGGAGGUUGCGCACUCAUUCUCCAGCCAAACAACUGAGACAGGUAAUCUGUUUCGAGCAAAAAGGAAAUCAACGUUGAGAACCGUUACUUGUAAAAAGAAAAAAACCAAAGGGAUAAAAAGACAUACAGCCGAAGAUGUUUGAAAUAUGGAUUCCAGAGGAAAAGAGCGCUUCCAGGAGGGAAGCAGAGCGUGGGUUGAGAUGUAGGUUGGACAUGGCAGUGAUGGUGACCGGACCAAGGUAGCCUGAAUUUUUCAAUGCCGAUCUUAUACUCCGACCAGCCAGCGAUGGACUAAAAGAAUCGGGUUUUCGUCCAGGAUGUGCCACGAGAAUGGUGAAUCCCUCAUCGCAUAUGCGGAAAAGAGGUUCAGAUAACAUUUCCAGUGUAGUAUCACCACAGAUGAGCAUUAAAGUAGCCGGAGGUUGCACACUCAUUCUCCAGCCAAACAACUGAGACAGACAAUCUGUUUUGAGCAAAAAAGAAAUCAACGUUGAGAACCGUUACUUGUAAAAAGAAAAAAACCAAAGGGAUAAAAAGACAUACAGCCGAAGAUGUUUGAAAUAUGGAUUCCAGAGGAAAAGAGCACUUCCAGGAAGGAGGCAGAGCGUGGGUUGAGAUGUAGGUUGGACAUGGCAGUGAUGGUGACCGGACCAAGGUAGCCUGAAUUUUUCAAUGCCGAUCUUAUACUCCGACCAGCCAGCGAUGGACUAAAAGAAUCGGGAAGCGGACAGCUGUCCAUGUCCCAAAGCACAGUCGUUGUCGCCAUAUGCACACUUGGCCGAAAGCGAAAAUGAGGAGCGGGGGCAAAGGAUCUGUUGAGCCUUAUCUUCACAGGAUCUGAAGCAAGACCUCAUCACGGAUGUGCUCUAGGUUGCCAAUGGCAGUGAUGUUAUGACCAUCGUAGCCUGCAUCCGUCAAAGCCGAUGAAAUUCUCGGACCAACCAGUGGGAACCGGACAGCUGUUGAUGUCCCACCACACCGAGAUUGGUAUCAAGUCUUCACUCAUCUCUUUAACAUUCAAACAAUUCGGUGUUAGUUAGGUUCUAUUCUAGAAACGAAAAUCUUCUUCAAUCAAACAUCAGACAAAGAAUUCGUAGACAGACUGCUAAAUCAAAAUCACUGACCUCGUUGAUUGUCGAAUCCGAAAGGCCAAACGGAAGGACCGAAAUAUUUAUUUUGAGGGAGGUGGGCGACAAGGGAACUUUGGCGGCAUAUCUGGUUUAUAUAUAUAUAUGAAUAAUGUUGGAGCCCUACUUUAGUUUCUUCCCCUUUUACUUCUUUCCUAUCUUUUUAUUUUUUCCCUCCCUUUUUUAAAAGCAGAAUUCCACAAAUAUAAUAUUUAUGUAUUAGUAUAUAAUUUCAUUUAAAAAAUAUCAAAAUAUGUAUCUUUUUGGAUUUAAAUAUUUUCUUAAAUGAGACUCGACUCAUAUUCAUAUAGCUUUAUUUAAAUUAUUUGUAUCAUGUUAUAAUGAAAUUUUAAACCACUAGACACAAAAUUUUGAGUAUGGAACUUUUAAUACUUUAAUUAAUUUAUAGGUUUUUUUAAAGAUUCAAAAUAUAACAUUCUAGGAGUGCGUCCACGCUUCGAGCGGAAUAUUGUGUUUCAUUGUUGUUAAGUAUGAUCUAUAUAAUGUAGUUAUUUGAUCGUUUUUAUUUGUUAAAAGUAUUGUUUGGUAUUUUCAGUGUGUUAUGUACUAAUAGGUAAUACGUUAAUAUAUUUUGUGUUUAUUUUUUUCAAUAUUGUGUAGUACUUAUUAGUGAUGGAGUGAACAUCUCGUGUAAACAAUAAUAAUUUUCAAUAUUGUAUUUAGGUAUGUGUUGAUUAUAAAAUUAAAGAUUUUAGCGUCAAACUAUAUUCUAUUUUUUAAUAUUUUUGAAAAUUAUUAUUUUAAGAUAUUUUUUGUCUUUUCUCCAUAUUUUGAUAUUGAGUCGUCACCAUUUAUAUAUUUUGUUUAUUUUUCUCUGUGUGGUGUUUUCACCAUCACCGUCACCUCUGUGUUCUUGUUCUUCCUCGCAUUCUUCUCCUCAAUGAUAUUUGUUGUAAAUCGAAUAUAUAAUUUUCAAGUUAUGAAGUUGUUUCAGAAAUUUUUAAUGUGAGACUUUAACCAUUUUUAGUAAUUUAUAGUCGUUUUAAAAUAUUUGAAAUAUAGCAUAUAAAAACAACAGAAAGAAAUCUCAUAACAGAACAAGCAAAAGAUUGAAUUUCAAUUAAACAAUGACAUCAAACUUUAAGCUGUAGCAAAAGAAUAUUUUAUAGACUGCUUAGAUAGAUAUCUGCUGAAAAGCCUCUAUUUCAGCAAGAGGACUCCGUCUUGUUCCUGUACCUGUACAGAACUCUCUUCUUCUUCUUGCUGGAAACAUUGUCAACGGUCAGAACAAUCUUACCAGACUCACUGUUCUUGAAACUGUUCCUCAACGGUCCUUCGUUUGAUCCAAUCUUCUUCCCCUUUUGGACAAUUAUAGUGUAAGCCCCUUCAUUUGCUGGUACAAACUCUUCCUUGUAACUCACUUCCCAUCCCAAAACCGCAAUGUCCCACACCAAUGUCCCUUCAGUCUAUGAAACAAACAAAGAGUAGAUAGAUAUUUUACCACUCCUGAAACAAGAACGGACUUUGGUUUUCAAAAUUCUUUACCUCAGCAGCUGGGAUCUCUAUGGUUUCAGAUGAUCCAGGCUUAACGACAACUUCAGAAACAGCUUCGUUGGAGAACUCGGUAUCAUCAUAUCUUUUGAAACCACCGUACUGAACCGGGAUCUCUUCUGCUGGAAUGUAGCUUCAUCAAGCCACAAUGCAUAAUAAAUGUUAUGAUAAAGAUUAGAGACAUUCAAAGAAUAUUAGGAGGAGCGGUGGUUAGUAUUGGGUGCUUACUUGAGAAGAGUCUCUGUGACAUUAGCUGGACGAGUCACAACAAACUUGCUCUUGGUUCUUUGAGUUAAGAAUGGUGACAGGAGAGUGCUGCCAGCAUAGAACAAGAAGGGAACAUUUAUGAAUACCUGCAGAACAUUAAAAACAAUUUACACACAAGUCAGGAGAUUUGGUAAUAGAGAGAAGGCAAGUGAAUGAUAAUAAUAUGAACUCGCGUUUCUGGAGACGAGUUCCGGGUAAUUAUCCUGCAGAGCUACUAUUGCGUUUUUGAUUGCGACCCAGAGCUCCUUUUUAUAAAGUCCAGGACAGUUCUUGAGAUCAUGGAUCUGGAGAAGAGAAGUAACACCUCCUGGUUUCAGAUCAAGCUUCUGGAUUCCCUUCUCCAUCAGCUGAAACCUCCAUCUCAAUAGAUUCUCCCUGCUCUGGUAAAGCUCCUCGUUACCAAAAACGCUGUAGAUAUUGUAACAGACAGGGCGUGAUUCUAGGUCCAGACCGUUCAUGUAAGCUGCAGAGGCAAGAUCCUCCCCAAAGUCUUCUCCAAGGAUUGAAUCAAUCUUGUGUUCCUUUCUCCACUUGAGGGUUUUCUUGAGCAUCUCAAAGGCUUCGUUGACUUUGAAGUCUCUUGCUCUCAAGAACUUCAUGAGGAUCACAUCGGUUCCUUCAGCUCCUUUGCUUGGAAGCAGUGGCACUCCCCAUAGCUCGAUGUCGUUAUCCACAGUCUCAGCCUUUACUUCUUCUUCAGGGCUUUCCUUCUCAAUGGUCUCAGCAUUAGCAUCAGUCUUGGCCUCUUCCUUGGGGCUGUCCUCAGCAACAACCGCUGGUUCACUCGUCUCAGCUUUAGCUUCUUCUUCGGUAACAAUAGCCUCACUCUUCUUCUUCUCCACCUUAACAGGACUCUCUUUCAAGAGAGUGUUUUCAGUAAUAGCUUCCUCAAGCUUUGUCUUGAGAUCGCUGAGAGCCUUUUUCUCGGACUCUUUCAAAUCAGAGAAGAAAUCGCUUUCUUCCUUGAAAGAAGAUAUCUUCUCAACACCCUUAGGCUUGCUCUCAUCUUCUUCUUCUUCAACCUUAGUCUCUUUCUCUUCCUCAACAACAACUUUAACUGUUGUCUCCUCCUCCACAGAUGCAAUAACAACCGCAGACUCUACCUGUUUCUCCUCCACCUUUACUUCAGCAGUCAUAUUUAAUCUUUUGCCUAUAAUCACAUUUAAACAAAUCUUUAAUCAUCAAAACAUAACACACUAACAAAAAAAAAACUCAUAACUUUUUUUAUCUAUGAAUUACUAAAUUUGAAUAACCUAAUUCUCCUUCUUGAUUCUUGAAGAGAUCUGAAAUUAAAACAGUAGCUACUUCUUGGAGAGAAAUCACAAUACUAAAAGCAAGAUAUAGAGAGCAAAGAAGUUGUCCACGUCACUAAAAAUAUUCCUCCAAUCAGAACAUUUCAUUUGAACAUGUCAGAUGGGCUUCAGUCUAUUGAGUUACGUUUGGGCCUCAGGUGCAUAUGUUUUUUCGCUGGGCUUUGUUUAGUAAAAUCUUCCAAUAACAAUCAUUUUUCCUGUCAAGUCAUAUUACCUGUUCAUCUGCGGCCCAAUUAACCCAAGUAAAAAAACUCUAUCUAUUAUCUUUUUUUUUGACUCCAUCUUCUCCGUUUCUUCUUCAUUCAAUCUCUGUUACUGAACCUCAACUGUUAUCCAUGUUCUUCAAUACCCUCUUAAGGAAUUCCUUCCACCUCCUCUCGAAAAAACAAAAAAGAAAAUCCCUUUCCUCGACCUUAUGGCCAGAUGGUGAGUCAAAGGUCUUAAUCGCCGAGAGAGACGGUUUAGUCGGCGAGCUAAUGAAAUCAAUUAGAAGAGACUCAGAUUCGAGCUUAAUCGAAGCGACGCUAUCCUGCUUGAUCGCGAUCAGCUCACCGAGGCGCGUGAAACUCAAUCUAAUCCGAGAGAAGCUCAUCAAGGAUCUUACGAAGCUGUUAACGGAUCCAACGACGGCGAGCGUUUCAAUGACGGAGAAAUCUUUAAAGCUUCUCGAGAGUUUAGCAUCCACAAAGGAAGGCAGAUCGGAAAACUGCGGAGGAGACGGCGAGUGUUUGAAGACGGUGGUUAAGAAGCUGAUGAAAGUAUCGACGGCGGCGACGGAGCACGCCGUGACGGUGAUUUGGAGCGUCUCUUAUCUUUUCACGGAUCCACAAGCGAGCGUUUCGGUGAUGGAGAAAUAUUUGAAGCUUCUCAAGAGUUUAGCAUCCACAAAGGAAGGCAGAUCGGAAAUCUGCGGAGGAGACGGUGAGUGAUUAAAGACGGUGGUUAAGUGGUUAAGAAGCUGAUGAAAGUAUCGACGGUGCCGUGACGGUGCUUUGGAGCGUCUCUUAUAUUUUCAAAGAAGAGAAGGCGCUUGAAGCGAUUACGAGUACUAACGGCGUUACGAAGAUCCUGUUACAAUAUAUGAAUACUAGAACUAUAAAUUUUUUUCUACUUGAUGCUUUUUACUGUUUUGAGUUCUUGGUUUUAAGAUUUAUAAAAUAACCGAAGGUAUAUGUUUUUUUGGUUUCCUUCUCUCUCUUUUGUUGUUGAGAAUUCAUGUAUUACAUAUAUUCCUGAUGAUGACACAAUGUUUCGUUUGGAUUUUUUUCACCCAGGUUUGGUGCAGAAGAUGUUUUAACCAUCUAGGCGUUUUGCAUGUUCAAGGUAUAAGUUUCAGUUAUGUGUAAAACAUUGUAAUUUUCUUUUCAGCUGAAUGAUUGCAUAGAUAAUGGUAAUACUGUUCUAAAUUGUUAAUGUAGUGAUUUCAUGCUCUCUUUACGGGGAUGAUGAUACUUGGAAAGCUUGGCUUAAUGUUGAUAACUCUAUGCUCCACAACUACUACUAUUUUUACAAUCUUUGAUAGUUUUCACAAGCAAAAAUUGUCUAGGCUUAUGCACAUAUUCUCGAAAUUGUAGUUCUAAUGCUAAAGUCACACAUUUAUAUCAUUAUGCUUACGAGUUGAGAGCUGCUCUUCACUUUCUCUAAGGUGAGAAAAAAAAAGAUUGAUUGUGGAGCAACAAAAGUUUUAAUGUCUUUUAGUUUCCCAGAAAAUAAUUAACUAUGCAGCCAUUAAAAGUAGUAAUUUGGACUAAUCUUUGGAAACUAAAUAUAACAAUUUAUCUAACAGAAAAAACAUUUGAAUAUUAAAGUUUCGAUUUUUGUCUAUUAAUGUUAGAACCAAUACAAAAUCACUGGCAAAAAACCAAGAAAAAUAAACUUGAUUAAAAUAUUAAUUCCAUGAAAAAAUUUAAAGACAAUGGAAAUCAUGUAAAUAUUUCAUCUAACAGAACAAGAUGAUGUCUUAAAAAUAAAAUUAAUAUCAAUAUAAUGUGUAUAUAAAUCAUUAUAAGAAGUAUCUUGAAGGAGAUGAACAUUUUUUAGACACUAUAAAAAAUUAUAUCAUUUUAAAAAAAAACAAUCAUAGAACAAAAUGGAAAAUAACAAUAACUAAACAGUGAGUACAUAACUGAACAUAUAAAAAAGGACUAGAAAAACAUAUAAAUAGGAAAAAUAACUGAAGACAUAAAUAACUAACAAACUUAAUAUAAUUAAAACAUAUAGAAAAAAUGACUGAGAACAUAUAAAUGAAAAAUACAUAUAACACAAGAACCAAACCAAAAAUGAAUGAACGUUUUUUAUCAUAGGUCCACAUUUGAACAACCAACUAUUUAAGAUGUAAUAUAUAUAUUUUCACAAAACUAUCGAACAUCAAAGAGUGAAAAAAUUAUCUUGGUACGAAUAGUCUUAAAAUAUAUAAUGAUAAAAACCACAUUAACUAACUAUAUAUAAUAUAUUAUAAAUUAAUCAACACAAUGCAUGAAAAUUAAUACUCGCCAUAAGAUUUUUAACAAUAUUUUACUUUAACAAUUCCAUAAUAAUUAUUUGAAGCUUCAAAUGAUAAUUAACAAAAAAAAACUAAAAUACAUAAACAUCAUACCACAUAUAAAGUCAAUAAAUAUUAACGACUGAGAACAAGAAAAUAACAUCAAACUAAUUUAUUAUACUCAUUUGUAAAUUUCAUGAAUUAUAAAUCUAUUGUAUAGUGUCAAAAAUAUGUGGUACAAAAUAAAAAAGUUAAACAAGUCAUACUCCGAAUUUAUUAAAAAUUAAACAAAAUAAUGAAAAUUAUCUAACAUAUAAAAAUUUAUAAAAUACAAACUUAAACAAACAUCUUUCUUAAUGAAAAAUUAUAAUAAACUUAAAAAUAUAAUUAUAAUUUUAUGAUUGUAAAUUGUUAGUUAUGAAUUUCAAUUACCAUCUCAAAAUAAAAAUACGCAAGUUUAAUUUAAUUUAAUAAUAUUAUAGGAAAAUCCGGGCGUAGCCCGGAAAACCCUCUAGUUUACCUAAAUAAAGAGUAUCUCUCAAUUCGACUUCCUCUUGUGUUUUAUCUUUUACGGUUUAUUAAUAAGAGAGGAGAAAGUAUUGAGCUUUGAGGGCUGGACCCCACCCAUUCUAAGCAACGGUCAAAUGUAGGGUCCACCACUAAAAUAAAACAAGGAGAAACCAUAACCGUUGGAUUUAAAAGCCUUUCAAUCUCUCUCCUCCAUCCAAUGAUCCAAACUUUACACAAAAGAUAUCUGCUGGGUCCCCCACGUUCGUCUUCGCAUGUUGCAACGGUCGUCUCUGCUGAUCUGGUCAUCCACCGGGAGAUCGACACGUGGACUAUUCGACAGAGUAUGUUCGGCGCAACGGACUGAUUUUUUUUUUUGUCAAUUUGAUCUUCAUUCAAGCCCAAAGGGCAUACAACUGAUUAAUACAAAGGCCCAAUUAGAGAAGAUUACAGAAAUCCCUUAUAUAAAGUCGCAUCACCAAUCUAAAGCUGACAUGUGGAAAAUCUAUUUUUCAAAAAAAAAAUUGGAAUAGAGAACAAUCUGAAAGAAAAAUAAUGCUUAAAAGAAAAAACUAACAGAAACCGUAGAACAAUUUUAAAAAAGUAGCCCACAACCCAUGAUUCUUUGUUUGUUCACUGUCCUUUUCAUUUGAUUUUUUUUUACAUAUUCUGUUUUGUAUUGUUUCGAUCAAGUUAAUUAUUGUCUAUUUUUUUUAAUCUUCCAUUAUUAAAAAUUCUUUCAGUUCUAUUGGUGAAACUGUUUUCCAAUAUCUUUACCGUCCCACUACCUUCACUUCUUUUGCAUCUAAAUAAACUGAAAUCUCCACAUUUAAAAGAUCAGAAAACACCGUAAAUUAUAAGUUUCACAUAAAACUCAGAAAAUUUCUAACACAUGUAUUCAUUGCGUAAAAUAUUUAAGCACGGAAGACAUAGAACAAGAAGCACCAACUCCUCAAAGUCUAAUAAUAAUGGUGAUGAAAUGUCUUAACACUCUCAUUUAAAGCUCCAUCGAAUGUUUCGUUUCUCAAAUGCGUUCAAGCCCUCGAGUUCAUCCACAAAAGCAGUUGUCAACUAUUAAAGAUAAAUUUCUGAAUCUACCAACUAAUUUAUUUUAAUAGAUCUAUCUAUAUCUUUUUUUUUUUUUUUUUCAACUUUAUCUUCAUUCAAGCCCAAAGGGCAUACAACUGAUUAAUACAAAGGCCCAAUUAGAGAAGAUUACAGAAAUUAAAACCUAAAGAGGAAACAGUUGAUGAUGCUUUUGCCAUCCACGUGUAGGCUCCAUUAAAUCUCCCAAGACACGUGUCCUCUCCUUGUGUCUUUCAUCAUGCAGCGGCAGAUCUCAACCGCCUCAAGCUUCCAUGGCCGGGAUGAAACUGUAAUCGCCUCUCCAUCUAUGAUUCUUCUCCGCUAAACCUUGUACCAAUCAAAGCUCUUCCACCAUUAAACGUACUAACUUGCUGUACACUUAAAACCACCGGGGAUAAUUUGCACAGGAGAAGCUCUGGACAACCGGAAAUAGAUUUAUGUCGGACCGCCAUAAGAAACGCCGACUUUACUAAUCAUACUCCAAAUUGAUAGAGACUUUCAAUACUCCAUACUUCUUCCAAUCAGAGAAACUUUACAUCGAUCUUACUAAUCGAUUAGAGAAGUAAAGAAUUAUACUCCUAGGAAGAACUCUGGACAAACCGAUGAUUAGAGAGUUUAGACAGAAGCUAGCCGAAUUCAAGCACAUGUGAAAGGGCCAAGUACCACUCCGAUUAUAAUUCGGAGUUCUUUUAUUUAUCGAUCCUGAUAAUCAGAGAUAAGAAAGGAAACAUGAAGUAUAGCUCUGUACCGGACCGAAACUCACAACAAAAGUCGCCAUGCGAAAAUAUUAAUCCGACAAGCGGAAGUAGUAACUCGCCAAGCGAAAGUAUAUACACCAAAAGACAAAAGAAACAGAGAGACUGGUGACCGGCGGCAACGCUACCGGCCACCGAAACUAUAUUCUUUGUUGGAGACUCUAGAGAGAAGUUGGCGCAACGGACUGAUUAUUCAACCGAAGUCCCUACUUCCAUUUUUUGUGUUUUGCUGACUGUAAAACUUAGAUUCAAUGUGUUCU
RNAcentral lists this long non-coding RNA (52546 nucleotides) under Brassica napus (rape). RNAcentral's name for it is "long non-coding RNA (BNAP_LNC008024)". Lineage: Eukaryota; Viridiplantae; Streptophyta; Magnoliopsida; Brassicales; Brassicaceae. The record is from RNAcentral.